RNAcentral lists this long non-coding RNA (67248 nucleotides) under Citrus x clementina. Its description in RNAcentral is "Citrus clementina (C. clementina) long non-coding RNA (CCLE_LNC004174)". The record is from RNAcentral. Lineage: Eukaryota; Viridiplantae; Streptophyta; Magnoliopsida; Sapindales; Rutaceae.
UAUAUAUAUAUAUAAUCUUUCUGCCAAUGAAGCGCCUGCCAAUCAGAGAAGUUAAUUUUUUAAUAUAUUUUUCGACGCCGGCCCCGCCCCUGAUCUUAUAGCUUUGACUCCAGAUGAAUGAGGCUUUUCAUUCAUGUUAUUCUUUGAAAGAUCGUGAUUCCAAAGGCUGCUGACAAAAGAAGAUUCUUGAGGCUGCCAAUCAUGGCCAUCGCUGCAUAAAUAUAUAUAUAUUAAAUCAAACAGGAGUGCGGUUACUUUAUACGUACAACUUGGGUUCUUGCCUUGCUGCCGUCAUGGAGAAUUAAUGCCACUGGUCAACGGUGAAUCAAUGGCCAUCGGGCACCAAAUUCAUGACCAAUCAAUGGCCAACAAGCACCAAAUUAAUGCCAAGCACACCAACAACCACCGAUUAAAUGGCAAGUUUAGUGUUUUAAAGUUUAGAAUAUGGAGAAGGACUUGCUACUGUAUCCAGGUAUUAAAUCAUCAAAAACCAAUUUGGUUUGGACUCUUCAAUUUCAAUUUGACUUCUACACCAACACCACACAACAACUCAACAACCGAAUCACUCGUCCUAAUAGCAUAGCAAUCCAGUCGUCGGUUGCCCGCACGUGAGAGACUAUUUUCUUAUUCGUGCUCGGAAUUGUUGAAUUAAUUUUACAAUUCUCUUGUACCAAUUUUCAUCAUAUAUGCUCCCUCAAGAAGUGAAGAUCGAUGUCGGAAUCACUUUAAUUUAGUUUCAAUUACAUGAUGUUUGGGAUCUUCUUAUACCAAUUUCGGUCUACAAUUGCCUCAAGUAUCUAUGUCCGUCAAAUCUUAUUUGUAUUAAAGCAACCGCUUAAACCGUUAACCUGUUUGAUUUAAAAAACAAAUAUUUGGAGCUGUUAGAUUGAACUCGUGUAAAUUAGGAUUACUAAUCCGAUAAUUUUAAAAUUAAAUUCAAAUUUAGUUUCCUUUAAUUCAAUUCAAGUAAAUUUAUUAAAUAUGAAAUAAAUAUUUAAUCUUAAAAUUAAUCCAAUUGGAUACUUAAUCCUGACAUCCAGACAAGGCCUUAUUUGCCUUAAAGGCAACUUAAAAAGAGGUGUGACCAAAAACGUUUAUAAAGCCAUUUUGUUUUUCGGGUUCAUAUAUAUAUAUAUAUAUAUAUAUAUAUAAUCUUUAUGCCAAUGAAGCGCCCAUCAAUCAGCGAAGUUAAUUUUUUUUUAAUUUCUUUUUCGACUGUGAUUCCGGAGGCUGCUGUCAAGACAAGAUUCCAGAGGAUGCUGAUAAGACAAAUUCAAAUUGACCUUUUUAAUAAUUAUUAUCUUUUCUAAGGUUUAAAAUUUUAUGUGUAACGUACAGCUAAUGUGAUGUAAGUUUUACCUGAUGUAUGAGUUGAUGAACCAUCAUGGUGAAAUCAAAAUACAAAAAUAAUAGAGGUCAAUAACGGCAUUCAAAAGAAAAGAAAAAUUAAAACACAAAGAAAAUAAGGCCGUUGGAUUCGUUUUUUCAAUUUUUUUUCUGAAUAUUAAUACGUUACAAUGAAAGAACUUGCUAAUAUUUUCCAUAUUGAUCAGGAUAAAAAGAUUGUUGAUACAAUCAUACGUCAAUUUUGUAAUAUUAUAGUACAAUUCAAAAGUUUUAUUUUAUUUUAAAAUAUAUUUAUCCUACAUAUUUAUAAAAGAUAUUGUAAAAGAAUUAAAUUAAUUAAGAUUAAAUCUUCCUGCAAUCAUACUUGUUCAAGCUUCAAGUGUUCUCUACAUUCACUAAAUUUUAUAAAAGUAUCUUCUUACUUUUUCUACUCUAUAGCCUUUCUCUUGUGAUGGAAAAUAAAUUCUUAACAAGCAUAGACUUGGAUAGGCUAGAAACCCUUUUUAUAACAAUAUUUCAUAACUUAGAAGACUUUACACUUCCUCCAUCAAAGAAGUGAAUUUAAUAACCUUUAGCACUUCGAUUAUGAAAAUGAUUAGUAAACUAUAAUGCUAUCCCUUGAAAUAAAUAAGUAGGUUAUUAAUAUAAGUUUAUCUAUUUAUUUAAAAAAAAUCACUUAUCAUGUGGACUAUAUAAUGAAACUUUGUGGAGAUAUAUCUACCCACAUUUAACUAUAUAAUGAGAUAUGAAAUUAGAGGUCCAAGGAGUAGUACUCAAAUCUACAACCUCAAAAGUUGAGGUCGUGGCAGGCAAAAGAAAAAGGAGAACCACGUGUUGCUGGAAAAGGAACUUACAUGAGUAACUGCAAAUUAAGCAAACACUAAAUUUUUCCCUCUUUAUAUGAUAAAAUCGGAAUGUGUAUAAAAAAUAAACAAGCAAAAAAUAAAACCAACACAAUUGAAAACAAUAAAUCAACCAUAAGAGAUACAAAUUAUUUUAUGUGGAAAACUCAAAUCGAGAAAAAACCACAGGACCAUACAGGGGCGGAUGCAUCAUAAGACCAGUGGGGACUUGAGCCCCCACUAGGCAAAAAAAAAAUUCUAAAAUUGAAAGAGAAAAAUAUUUUCGUUUUCUAAUUAACCCCCAUUAAUUUAUUAAAAUAGUCACUAUAAAUUAUAAAACCCUAUAAAAUUUAAACUUUAACUUUUAAAAAUUAUAAAAACUUAUAUUUUAAUUAAAAAUAAUAAUAGCCCACCACCCAAAAUAUUUUAUAUUCUUAAAAAUAGGAUUAAUUCUUCAAGUUUCUAUAAUAAUAGUAGAGCGAACGUUUUCAGUAAUGAAACUCAUGAAGAAUCAUCUUUGGAAUCGGAUGGGAUAAAUGAUAGUUUUGUUGUUUAUAUAGAAAACAAUAAAUUUAAUAAUAUUGAUAAUGAGUUUAUUGCAUAACAUUUUUAAAAUAUGAAAAUGCAUAGAGAAUAAUUAUAAAUGUAUUAGCAAAUAAUUUAUAUAUUCAAAAUUUUAGUUUUUCAUAUUUUACUACUAUCUAAUUUAGCCCCCAGUAAAUUAUUUUUCUAGAUCCGCCACUGGGACCAUAGUCCAAUAUAACCUUCCAUUAUAUUAAUAAUGGGAUUACUACACAAAUUCUUCUCUAAAUAAUACUAGAGGCAAACAAUAUCAAGAAUCUCAACAAUCUUGCUCAUAGUAAUAGUCUAAUAUUUUUCAUUCUAACAAGUGGGUAUCUUAGAUAACAACCAAUGAGAGAAUGAAAUAAAAAUCAAGACCAGUAAGAAUGUAGAGGGCGAUGCCAGAAAUUGCCUUCCAAAUUUGGGAGAUUAAGUUUGCCUUUCGAUCGUCCAUUCAAAGAUUAAAAUCCUUACCCCCAAAUUGAGUUGGCCAUUGUCUUCUUUUUCUCUCUCAUCUUUUCUAUGUUUUUAAGGCUGCUGCUUCACUUGUCUACUUUUUCUUUUAUAGCCAGGUGAUUUUCAAAGCCAAAUUUGAUGGCAAUUUUCAAUUAGCCAUAACAUAUUUCCUUUAAUUUCUUAAACACCCAAACUAAUGGAAACUUUGGUUUGGGCCACCCAAAUGAGAUGGAUUCAACAAAUCUUCCCAUCAGAUCAUAUGGGGGGCACUACCAAGCCCGUUCUCUACUUACAGUCUUUCAGCUUCUCCUUGGGCAACGACUUUGUCAUCAUAUCUGACACAUUCUUCAUGAAUAUAGUCAGGCUACAACUAUUUCUUUUCAAGCACGUCUUGUAUUCAUUGAUAUCUCACCUUAUAUGCUUGAAUUUCGAAUGGUAUGUUAAAUUCAUUGCCAAGUGAGAGCACUUUGAUUAUCACAGUACACGACAUAGCUAUUUUGUUUCACAUCCAGCUCUUGUAAGAAAUUCUUCACCACAAAGGGUUUUAGUGAUUGCAAUAUACUCUGCUUCUAUGGUGGGGACAACAACACGAAGUUUGAAAUCCUCUUAGACUACCCCCUGCAAAGGUAAGCAAAUAUCCUGAUAGGAAUUUUCUAGGAUCAACAUCUCUUGCCAUAUAUGUUGUACACUUAUAACACAACUUGUCACCAUUAAAACAUAAACAUGUCUUGGAAGUGUUCUUUGCCUGUACUAUAAAGAAACUGACUGAGUACACCGACUGCAUGGGCAAUAUUUGGUACAAGCCAUGGCGUACAUCAGUCUGCAAAGUGUUGAAGCAUAAAAUAGUCCUUUCAUCUGCUGCUUCUCUUUCUCGCUUGUAGGAAAAUGCUUGGAACUAAACCUAAAAUGGCCCGCAAGUGGAGAACAAACAUAUUUUGCCUUGCUCAUGUUAAUUCUUUCAAGAGCACUUUCAAUAAAUGCUUCUUGAGAUAACCAUAACUUGCCAAUUUUUCUGUCAUAGGAAAUCGUCAUGCCAAGAAUGUAUUUGUCGAUCCUUGGUCUUUUAUUAUAAAUGACUUGCUAAGCUUUUUCUUUAGAUUAUCAAUCUUACUAGCAUCAUGGUCAACAAUCAACAUAUCAUCCACAUAAAGCAAAAGAAUGAUAAAAUUAUUAUCACCAAGCUUCUUUACAAAAAGACAAUGGUCAGACAUAAUCUUGCUAAAACCAUGAUUCUCAAUAAAAAAAUCAAACUUUUUGUAAUAUAGUCUUGGUGCCUAUUUCAGUCAAUACAAACUUUUCUUCAACUUGCAUACACUUUCUUUGUUGCCUUUAACAUUGAAUCAUUCAGAUUGCUCCAUGAAUAUCUCCUCCUUUUAAGUCACCAUGCAAGAAACGCAUUCUCAUAUCCUAGAGACUUUCUAUCCAUCAACAUCCAAGAUUUAUCCAUAUUUAGACUAUUAACUUUCCUACAAAUGCAUCACAUUUCAUUUGUUCAGUUUUAUUAAUAUUGGAGUUUGAUAUUGUUUCCAACUAUAAGAACAACUAUUAAAGUUACAAAAUCAACAAGAAAACAGCAGUUAAAAUACAAUAAAAAAUAACACUUAACAGCAAGAGAAAACCUAUAUCUUCAUCAUGACUAAUUAUAACACUAAUAUUAUAAGCCAUAUACCAUAAAUCAUGGAAAGAGCAAAUAAUAUAAUUUUCAAAAAAUAGAGAAAUAGAAAAAAAUAGAAGUACCUUUUGCUAUUCGUUCCAAGAAUCGCGGAGCAGGUAACAACUUAAGAGACUAAAUCACGACUAAAAAUAGAGAAGAAUAGAAGCAAGACUUGUUUUUAGAUUUCUACUGAAAAAGACAAAAUUAUUGAAAUAAAACUUGUCCACGACAAUAAACUAGCUAGCUAUUGAAAUGAUUUAAACAAUCCAUAAAUAAAGUAUUAAAUUAAGUAUGCAAAUGUCACAUGUAGCAAAACAACAUAUGCAAUAUGAUGAAAUUUCAACAGCAAAAUUGGGUGUUAAAACCGUUAAAUAAAAUCCAUUUUUCCAUUAGAGAAAUCUAAAUUUUGAGAAUUUUGGUUUAGCUUGCUUUGGUCAAACUCAGUCACUCUGCACAGUGACAAAGAAAAAGAAGCAGUUGAAACAAAAUGAGAGUGACAUUGCAUAGACUUGAUAGUGAAAUGUCAUUUUCUUGAUGCUAAUUUAUUCCGUUUCUAUUUGGAAUGAUUGAUACAAGCGGAAAGGUGUUAAAGAAUUGCUUAAAAUACUUUAUAGGGGCAAAGAGCAAUUGCAGCAGUUUAGCCAUGUCAAUAAGUAAGAACUUGACCAGUAUGUAAAGUUCACAAAGUAGCUAGAAGAACUCCCGAGAAGGCAUUAGUAGAAUGUAGCCACUAUAAAAAUUUCCACAAACAAAUUAAUUUAUAAAAAAGCAGUGGAUAAGGAGUUAAGCAUACAUUAAUUUGUUUUUGGAACAUACAGCGAAAUUUCCAUAUUGGCUACUAUUCCACUAAUGGUUUCUUUCCACAAUUCCCAAUAUUAAGAUCUAUUGAAAACUAAGCAUACAUUAAAUUGCUUGUGGAAAUUUACAUAAGUCAAUAUAACAGCAGUUGAACUGGAUGCAGUUUGGGUGGAGAAAAAUAGUUUCUGUUCCUAAUUCCCAUUAUUAUGUUCUAUUGAAAAUUAAACAUACAUUAAUUUGUUUCUGGAAAUUUACAUAAGUCAAUAUAAUAGUAGCUGAACUGGAUGCAGUUUGGGUGGAGAAGUAGUGAGCGCUGGUUUUGGUGGAGAUGUUGGAAUUAAAGAGGUACUAAAUAACUACAACUUUAAAUCAAAAGAAAGGUUUGUGCUAAUAUUUGCCAUGCAUAACUUCAACUUUAAAUCAAACUAAUGCUUACAAAUGGCAUGCAUCCAUAUCCACCACGUCGCAUACUACAUCACUCUUAUAAAUCUUUCUAAUGGAGAAAGCAACACGACAUUAUUCGCAUUUUUGUCCCUUUCUUAAUCUACUAUAUUUUGUAAGGUGCUGGAUAUUUUUCUGUUGAAAGUCCUAUCACAUCGAUUAGCGCCUUUAAAAUUAUGUUCUCGCUAUUGUUGAUAUCAAUUAUCACAUUGCACACCUUAUCUUUGAUGGUGCCACGUGUUCUGAAAUCUUACUGCACUAAUUAUCCUCUUCAAAUCUUGGUGCUAAUAAAAUCUUCUACAUAGUGUAAUUCAACAUCUCUCCUUCAUGUACCUCUAACUCUAAAGCUUCUUCAUCAUCCUCAUCCUCAACAUUAUUCAUCUCUGCUUAGCCAUAGCGUUUAUUUUCUCUCUUUCAAAUAUCAAAUAAUGGUUAAUAUUUUCUUCAGGAUUAUCUUUUCUUUCUUGCUUGUGAUGCUGCUGCUGCUGCUGCUCAUGAAUGAUAAAGUGGCGCUAGGGCAAGAUGGGGAUCCCGUGGGAUCAACACAAGGAGGAGGAGGAAGAGAAAUGGUGCCUGCCUUGUUCAUUUUUGGAGAUUCACUUAUCGAUAAUGGCAACAAUAACAAUCUUCCUUCUUUUGCCAAAGCAAAUUAUUACCCCUAUGGUAUCGAUUUCAAUGGUGGCCCAACUGGCCGCUUUUCUAGCGGCUACACCAUGGUCGAUGAAAUUGGUAACUCUCUUUAUCUAUGCAUUUGAUUUAUAUUUUUAUAAUUUUUUUUCCUUUUCAAAAUCCUGAAGGUACAUGAAAAUUUAUAUACACCAUGAUUGCAUGCAAUGCAGGGUAUUUUAAUUGCUGAUCUGACAAAUUAUUAUGAUUACUUCUUUGCUAGCUAAAAAAAAGCAUAAAACAGAUGUCAUUUUUAGAUUUUUCUCCUUUGUAAAUUUGUGUCACACUCUUGAGCAUAGUUAGAAAUAUCUGUGAAGUGAGUUUCAUAGUCAUGGCUUCAAUGACACAAAUCCAAAUUCAUUACAAUUAAUUAAUUGAUUUCCUACUUCUAUCCCUUUUAAAAAAAAUAACAAAAUAAAAGUACUUGUUUAGUUAUCUAUUUGGGGAGGGGGGGGGGGGGGGGGAAGGAAAGACUAUUGCCGUUUAUUGCUCUGCCCCUACCUCUAUAUGUCUCUUUGGGAGGGCUCGCACUGUCCCAUAAUAUUUAUUUCUAAACAAUCACAGUCAUUAUCUUAAAUCAAUAAAAAUAACAGAAUUUUUUCUUUUAUUUUUUACAUUUAUUAUAUCUACACCCACUUAUACCUAACUUGUAUUAAUCCGCAAGUACGAUCUGUUUGGGGAUAAAUUCACCAUAUCUGGUAGGCAUGUCUUAUUAAUGGCUAAAAGCUUCCAUAUGCAUAACCUCUUUAAAUUGUGUCCCCUUUCAAAGAAAAUUUUCUUUUUUGUCCAUUAGCUUUUAUUUACUCUUCACAAAUAUUUUUAAUGUCAUAUUAACCAAAUCUUGUAAAUUCAUCCAUUCAGCUGAACUACUGGGACUUCCUCUGAUUCCUGCAUACUCUGAGGCUUCCGGUGCACAAGUGCUUCACGGAGUCAACUAUGCUUCUGCUGCUGCUGGAAUCCUCGACAUCACCGGAAGAAACUUCGUAAGGACUCAUAUAUCUAAUUCAAACGAACCAGGAUUCCCUUUUGAUCUGAAUUUUAAUUAGAGGAUUCUAUAUCUAACACGAGAUCCGAUCAUUAGUAGAAAAUGUUUGCUGCAUGGUCAGGUAGGUCGCAUACCGUUUGAUCAACAAAUAAGGAAUUUUCAGAACACACUUGAUCAGGUCACUGAUAAUCUCGGAGCAAGUGAUGUAUCAAAUGCAAUUGCAAGAUGUAUAUUUUUUGUAGGAAUGGGCAGCAAUGACUACCUAAACAAUUAUCUCAUGCCCAAUUACAAUACCAAAAAUCAAUACAAUGCUCAGCAAUAUGCUGAUCUUUUGGUUUCAGAAUACUCAAGACAACUCACAGUAAGAUUCAAUUUCACUAUAUUUACAUUUUUUACCAUAUGCAUGCAUUUUAGUUACUUUUUUUUUUAGCUUGUAAACAUAUUUAUAUAACUUGUAUUAAGUAUUGAUUGAAAAUCUACAGACCCUUUACAAUUUGGGAGCAAGGAAAUUUGUGUUGGCCGGAUUAGGAAGAAUCGGAUGUAUUCCAAGAAUUUUGGCUCAAAAUCAAAUGGAUCGCUGUUCAGAAGAAGUGAAUCAACUUGUUAUGCCUUUUAAUGCAAAUGUGAAGACUGUGAUUAACAAUCUUAAUGCCAAUCUUCCUGGUGCAAGAUUCACCUUCAUUGACAUUGCCCGCAUGUUUGAAGAUCUCCUCACCAAUUAUAGAUCAUACGGUAUGCAAUUUUCCCACUAAACAUAUCGUAUUGUAGUUAGAUAUGAUGUGUGCUGUCUAGCCUAAAAUCUUUUAUUUUAAAAUGUGCGGACACUGACAAAAGAUAAUAAAGAUUUCGUCCUCAUAUUUUAAAAUCAAGGAACAAUUUACAGUGGCUGAACUAGGAUUUUGAUUUGACAAGCACGGCCUAGAGGUGGAAAUAACGGAGAAAUUAUCGUCUUGCUGUGCUACAAUAAAAGCAAGACAUUUUAAAAUUAAAUUAAAAUAGGUGCAUAAAAUAAACAAAAUUUUACUUAAUAGAAUAAUGUUUAUGAUCACUUUUUUUUUUAUCCCAAAUAAUUCUACAGGAUUCAGUGUAAUAGAUCGAGGGUGCUGUGGCAUUGGACGAAACGGAGGCCAAAUUACAUGUCUUCCAUUCCAAACACCAUGUGCAAAUCGAGAACAAUACGUUUUCUGGGAUGCAUUUCACCCAACAGAAGCUGUGAACAUUAUGUUUGGAAGAAAAGCUUUCUAUGGUGACCAGAGCGUUGUUUAUCCCAUGAACAUCCAGCAGCUUGCCAGUCUUUAAACUUAGAAAUUAAAGGGACAUAUAUGUUAUUGUAAUGUUUCUUGCUUGCUUAAUUGCUUUGCAUAAUUGUUGGGAUUAUAUGCUCUUUUAAAGCAUAUUAAUUUAUUUUCUAAUUAAUAAAAUAUUUGAGAUAUUUUCAAUUGCAUAAAUAUUUUGAAUAAGGUCCGUUUAAUCAUAUUAUAUGUAUUUAUGUAAUCAUCAUAUGGAUUCACAGAAGAUAUAAAUACAAGUUAUCUUAUGAUUAAAUAAAUUAAGUUCGCAGUUGAUAAAUAGAGUUGGGCGCUCUAUUUAUGUUUAGACUGUAGUUAAUUCAUUGAAUGAUUUGCCUUAAUCAUAUAUCAAUUUACUGAUGUAGUUUGACUACAUUGAGCUGGAUGACAUAUAAGAUUUAAUUAACCUUGAAAUGACUGUUAGACUUAUUAAAUCUCAUAGGCAUUGAUUUUACUGUAAUCUUAAUCUUGAGUUAGUUAUGAUUUCAUGAUUGUAAUUGUUAUUCCAUUUGAGUUACCAAUGGGCACGACACACAAUUGUGGUCAAGAUUACCCGGUAUCUUGGUGGGAGCAAUUAUGAGUAUUGGAGUUAUAGAUUAACAAUAUAGAAUUUGUACGACGCAUCUGUUGAUGGGUUUUCAGCACUUGAUCAUAGAAUUCUCUGGUCAGAGUGUGUCAACAUAUUUAGUAUGUUGAAAAUGAUCAUUAGAGAAAACCAGUAAGUAUCAAAGAAUAAGAUGUAAUUAAAUUGAUUGAACAAUUGAGAUAUCGAUUUAAUUAACGAUGUGGUCCAAAGGAUUGAGCAGUAAAGAAAUCAGUUUGUCUUGGGACGAAUUAUUAUUCGAACAUACAAUUAUGGAGGUCAGUUCCAAUCUUAUAGUGGAGUAGAGUUGGAAUUAAAUGAUUAGGCUUAUUUAAUUACAGACUUAAUUGUUGUAGCCACUAUUGUAUAUUCCCAAACGAUCCCCGGGUUAGCUUAUUUAAUUGACUGGAUCGCUACUGGAUUAGUAAGUAAGAUAACUAGCUAUUUAGGUUAAAAGCCUAAAUAUAUUAUUUAGUGGGAGGCUCCAUUAAUAUGCUUGAGUGUAAGGGGCCUUGUGUUAUUUUACAAGGUGGACUCCUAUAACACAAGAACAAGUAACGUGACUUUUGUUUUAAUUAUUUUUUAAUUUAAAUCACAUGGGAUUUAAUAGAAUUAAUAAAUAAAUAAAUAUGGAGCCUAGGGUUUCCACUAAAUAGAGAUAUAAAAAAACUUAUUUUCUUUAAAGAAAAUAGACAGAGGCCACAUUAUACAAAUCAGAGAAAAAGAUUUUCUCUCUAAUUUUGAGAGAAAAAUGUUCUCGUGCUAGUUGCUUUAGUGGUGAUAAAGGCGCUCACACAUCAAGUGUAGAUCAAACUUGAGUCAUAGUCUGGAAGAUUAUUUGGUGGCGGAUCGUGAUCUAACAUGAGUAGUGGUGACAGAUCGUGGUCUGGGAGCCUAAAUCACUUUAGUGAAAAAAAAAAAAGAUUGUUCAUCUUCUCAAAUUUUCAAGGUACGAUUUCUAGAUUACAAAUUUUUAUAUAUUGUAUGAGAUCGAUCCUAAAAGUUUUUUUUAAAAAAAAAAAACUGAUUUUUUCCACAACAAUAAUUAGCCACCGGUGUCUCGUCUGUCCAUGUGAGUUUUUACUUGUUUAAUUUGCUUGUGGGAAGUUUAUGUAAUCAAAGAACAAGUUGUGAUUGUGUUUUGUUGCGUUGCUAGUGGUUCAGUAAUUGGGACUACUUUGAUUAUGUUUUGGCAAUAGAUUUUGCUAGUUUACUAGUGCUUCAGUAGGAUUUUUCUUUUUUUUAAUUAUUAACUUAUGCAUCUAUUGAAAUCUGAACUCAAAACUUAAGCCCCAAAGAAAUUGCUUGUUACCGUUGGAAUUAGACUUGACUUUCGUAGUUUAUUAAUCAACUUGCUUGCUAGGUAGGCUUGCAUAUGAUAUGGUUUGCUAUCUUAUGGGUGGUGAUGUUUCCCUUGCAAUACCCCUCGCAUCUGUGUAAGGACAUCCAUCUAAUUUUGUUGAUAUUUUUGGAAGUUAAACUUUCAUCCUUAAUUUGAAUGAUUAAAAGAUAAUAUAUAAUUUUAGCCGCGGUUGAUUCAAAAAGGGUAGAUUUAAAAGAGAGAUUGAUUCAAAAAGAUUAAAUUAAACGUUCAAAAAAAUUUAUAAAAAAUGCAAGAUAUCCGCAAACUGUCUAAAAUACUAUCCUUUAAUCAAUAAUAUUUUAAAUAAGGAGAUUAUGGGUGGACCAAAAAUCCAUGUACCAAGCCCAAGCAAACGCGCAGAUUUAACAACCAGUUUGGACGUUACCAAAUUAUUUAUAGGUUUGGGUUCGGUUACAAAAACUCAACCACAAAAAUAAAUUUAUGUUCACUUAAAUUUCUACAAAAAUCUUCUAAAACCCCUUUAUAAUUGUCUCCUUCUUUAAAAUUACCGUCUAGGACAAAAUUAUAUCUCAUUAAACCCACCGUAAACAAUUCUUUCACGGACAAUUUUUCUCCUGUACGUAUGUACUUCUGUUAUCUUAGAGUUUAUACGAAAAUUAUUGAAACCUCAAAAUACAACUACAGAAAAAUCUCAAAAGCCGGUAACAACCCUGUUAAAAAUCAAAAUAAUGAUCAUGUUAGAAGACCAUUCCCUGUCAAAUUCCAUUGAAAAUUGAGUGCAUAUAUGACCUAGGCAAAAUAGAGAAAAAAAAAAAAUCAGUUUCAGCUUUAAAAUUGUUGUAAACUGGGUAGUCAGAGGAGUGCCAAUAGUCCAACUCAGUUCAAAUUCAUUUAGAUCUGAGAUGAAGAAAUAAACACCACAAAAUAAACUUAAAUGUUGAAAACUAAUUCUAACCCAACCUGAAUAGAUUUUUAUUGGAAGUUUUUGGUUUAAGUUACUCAAUAGUUUUAGAGUGGAGCUUCUAACAUCCCAUUAAAACUCAUAAGAAACACUACUUAUUCAUUUUUAUAUCUCUUUUUUUAUGAAAUUACAAAAAAAGUCCAUAAAAUUACAAUAGAGUUUUAAUUAAACUUCACUAUCAUUUUAGACAUACUUUUUCAUAAUAAAAUAUUAUUAUUAAGUAAUUUAUUUCCUCAUUAUCUCAAAAUUAUUUUUGACUUUAUCAAACAAAUAAGGUUAAAAAAAUAGUUAGGGGUUUAUGAUUUAUAAAGACAUUUUAGUUUAAUUAAAUUCGUAAUUUUUUUCUUUCGGUAAUUUCGAAGAAUAUUAAAGGGGUGUGAAAAACAGUACUCAUAAUUGAAUUAGAUCAAAACUUUCUCAACCCAAAUACGUUUGGAUUUGAUUGGGUUAAUCCCAACAUUCACUCACCCCUAAAAUGGCUUUAUAUAUAGCCAUUAUUAUGAAAAAUAUAAUCAUAGCGUCAACUCUUAAGUAAACUUUUCGGUUGAGAGAGGCGUAGAUCACUCAACAUGUAUUAGUAGUCAAAAUUAGAAGAGGAACUUUAUCUAGAUUACUACAUUUACCAAAUAAUUGUUAUAAGUGAAUAUGAAAUAGUUCACUCAAAGCAAGGAUAAAUGGAUGAAAGUACUACACAUUUUAUUCACAAUGAGGUUGCCUUUUAUAGGCGUUACAUGAACAAACUUAACGAAAUAAUAGCAGCCAUUAUUCAGCAAAUACUGCAGCUACUUUCCAGUAACUAUAGCCUAAAGACUAGGUAAACACAAUCUUGCAAAUAACAUUACCAACAAACUUCCUAAAGACUAGGACCAUAAAAGCAACUUAUUGACACAAGGAAAUUCCAACAAUCCCUCCCUUAAACUAAAUGUUAUUAACAUUCAGUUUAAACAUUCUGCAGAAUCUUCCUCAAAUUGCAAUUUGCAAACUCCAAGUGACUUUCCCAGCUUCAAAAAACUAGCCAAUUUGAGGGGUUUAGUAAAGAUGUCAGCAACUUGGUCUUCACUCCUGCAAUAAACAAGAUCAAUGACUUCAUUUUUUGUCAAGUCUCGCAAGAAAUGGUAUCUCACAUCUAUGUGCUUUCAUCUUCCAUGUAGAACCGGAUUCUUUGAAAGUUUAAUUGUUGAACUAUUAUCACAGAAGAUUUGUGUUGACUCUGGUUGCUUAAACUGAAGUUCAUGAAGAAUAUUUCUCAGCCAAAGUGCUUGACAUGCACAAGAAGCUGCUGCAACAAACUCAGCCUCAGUUGUUGACAAAGUAACUAUCGGUUGCUUCUUAGAUGACCAUGAAAUAGCUGCUGAACCAAACAUAAAUCAUAUCCAGAUGUGCUUCUUCUGUCAUCCAAAUCUCCAGCAUAAUCACUGUCUGUAAAGCCAUACCAAUCUGAUUUUUUACCCUUUUUGUAGAACAACCCAAAUUCAGCAGUACCACGCAAGUAUUGAAGAAUUCUCUUUGCAGCUAAAAGAUGAUCCUCUCUUGGACACUCCAUAUAUCUGCUGAUGGAACUAACUGCAUGCAUUAUAUCAGGUCGAGUUGUUGUUAAGUACAUCAAGCUUCCAACAAUCUGUUUUUAAAGGGUUGAUCACUUGACUCCUAUUGUCCUUUGCCCCAUUGGAAGUUCAGUCAACUCCCAAGUAUUAUUUUUUUCAAUGGAUGCAAUUUCUUCGUCCAUGGCUUUUAGCCAUUUUUGUUCUUUGACAGCUUCUUUAAAAGUUGUAGGAUCACAUUCUGAAAACAAGGCAAAGUGUAUGAGUGGAUUCUCAAGAGUGUUAAAUCAUGUUACCUCAUAAUCUGACAUCCAUGCAGACCUUAUUCUAUCAUGUUGAGAACGUGAAUCUGUAGCUUCAACUUGUUCAUCAAGUUCAUUUGUUGCUGGUGGAGUUUCUGCUGAGACUCUAUUUUGCGGCAGGUUAGGAGCAGAGACUGUUGAAGGCUGAAGUUGCUGUGAAUUUUCUUCAAUUUCACCAUUGAAAUCUGCUGGAAUUUGCUGCCCAACAGAAUUGCAUCUCCACAUCCAUGUCUUCUCUUCAUAAAAAAUGACAUCACGACUAAUGACAAUUUUCUUGAUGAUGGGAUCAUAUAAUUUGUAGGCCUUUGAAUGAUCACUAACACCAAGAAAAAUGCACUUUACACCUUUGUCAUCUAAUUUUCUUCUGUUCUCAUCUAGUACGUGGACAUAUGCUAUAAAUCCAAAUACCCGAAAAUGAUCUACUGCCGGCUUACAUCCACUCCAUGCUUCUUCAGGAGUUAUAUUUUGAACAACUAUUGUGGGGCUUCUGUUCAAAAUAUAAACACUCCAAACAACUGCUUCAGGCCAAAAACUUUUGGGAAGACCACUCCUCUGCAGAAGGCUUCGUACCAUAUUAAGAAUUGUACGAUUUUCCUCUCGCAUACACCAUUUUGCUGAGGUGUGUAGGCUGCUAUCAAUUGUCUUCUAAUUCCAUGAUUUUCACAGAAGCUUCCAAAUUCUUGAGAGUUGAACUCUCCACCACGAUCAGUACGCAAUAUUUUAAUUUGGCUGUCAGCUUCUCUUUCAACUAGUGCUUUAAACAUUUGAAAGGCUGUGAAAGCUUCCGAUUUUUCUUGCAAGAAAUAAAUCUAGGUUUUUUGACUAAAAUCAUCAAUAAAUGAGAUAAAAUAUCAUUUACCUCCAUUUGAUGUUGGCUUGAUUGGCCCACAUAAGUCAGAAUGCACUAGCUCCAACACUUGCUUUGCCCUCCGGAGUUUUCCUUUUGGAAAAUUAUCUCGAUGUUGCUUACUGACAAUACACUCUUCGCAAAGCUGUGAAGGUUGCUCAAAUUGUGGAAGGCCUACCACCAUAUUUUUCUACUGCAAGGUCUUCAAUCCACCAAAGCUAAGAUGCCCGUAACGAAAGUGCCAUAACCAUGCUGUAUCUUUGAAAUUUGCAGCAAAACAUGAGUGUGCAGUAUGGUGAAGAUACAAUGGAAACAUUCUGUUUGUCGUCAUUUCACUUGAGCAAUUAAGCCCAAUUUUUCAUCGUGGAUUCGGCAAACUCCUUCCUUGAUAGAGAUCUCAUACCCUUUUUUCUUGUAACUGGUUGUAAAGAUGAAAGAGUUGUUUGGUUGCAGAGAAAACAAACGAGAAAACAGAGAGAGAAUUUGUAUUUAUCUUAAGCUCAAAUAAGCUGAAUUACAAGCAUAUAUACAUAAUGCUGAAUGGAAUCUUAUAUACUCUGCAUGUGAGUAAUGUGUUUAUUUGAGCUAACAACCAUAACAGAUUUAACUGACUGGACUGCCGCAUCAGCACUAAUAACAGAUUCACUUAACUAACUAAACAGAAAGCUAAAUGUAAUUAACAAUUCAAAUAUCUUAACACUGGCCAACACUGAGAAGGUUAGUUUUCAGUUCAGGAACGAAUAAAACAUUUGAGAUAGAAUGAGAACUUUCCUUGGUUUGGAUUGCAGCCCUUCCUUUCCCCAUGACAGAAAUUGUAGAGUCAUCACCAAAUUUUACAGUAUUUCGAAAAGUCUCAUCCAAGUCAGAAAAAGUAGAUUUAUCCCCACAAAUAUGAUUGCUACAACCGGUAUCUAAGUACCAUAGAUUUUGGUGACUUUCCUCCUUUGUAUGACAUGCCAUAAGAAGGGAAAUUUCUUCUUCCUCCUUUUCUACAAAGUUAGAUUUCUCGCCACGAUUCUUAUUUAAAUUAGUACAGCACUCAUUGUGGUAAUGACCGUACUUCUGACAACGGAAGCAUUUAACAUUCGAUUUGUCUUUAGACUUUGGUUUAUGUCCUGUCGAAUUCUGACCAUCACAAUCCUUUCCUUUUCCUUAAGAAUCAUCAACAUUUUCUUCUUAUUUAUCCUACCCAUUCUUGCCUUUCCAGCCUCCUUUACCCCCUCCAGUUGGUUUGAGAUUUGCUGCUGCCUGUAAUGCAUGUUCUUCCUUAUCCUGUCGGAUUACUUUCUACUCAUGGACUAGCAAAGUGCUUUCCAAUUCAUCAAUCGAAAUUUUGUCAAUAUCCAUUGAUUCCUCAAUCGCACAAACAAUAUAGUUAAAUUUUACCGUUAAAGAUCGAAGAAUCUUCUCAAUUAUGAUAACAUCCUCGAGCUGCUCGCCAUGAAUUCGUCUCUUAUUUGCGAUUGCCAUUGUCCUUGCAAAGUAUGCUAAGACCGACUCUCCCAUCUUCAUUCGUAGAGAUUCAAAUUCAUAUCGAAGUGUCUGGAGGUGUACCCGAGAUAAAAAAGGAGGCUAGUAGUUUUCACAAGCAAAAGUUAAGAAUCGAUUUUAUUUUUUUCAGGCUGUGGAUUCAUUGCUUUACAAUUCUUUAUAUAGAACUAGGUUCUCAUGUUUUAGUUACAUCAAGACCUAGCAUCUACGGCUAUCAAUUUCAUCACAAGACAUUACAAAAGUUGUUAUAACAACCUGACACUGCAGUUUGUCUUCUUGUCUUCAGUUGCUCAGUCUUGUCUUUAGCAAGCUGUGAUAUCUUGCUCCUUCAGCUUGAUUACCAUCCAAUCCUGACCUUUGAUGCUUCUAGCCAUCCAACGACUAAUAUUCAAACAUCAGAUGGCUUGCUUAAUUCAAGAGAUUCAUGAGUUCCCGCCAAUGCCUUCAUUGAGGUAUAUUAUCAAACAAUUGUGCAGCAACCUCAGACACAUUUAUUUUAACUCCCCCUCUCAAGCUCAAUCGUCUGCUAAGACAUUGAGCUUGCUUCUUAGGUAUUCGAAACUUCGAUUAAGUAGUGCCUUGGUCAUUAUAUCUGCAACUUGGUUCUUGCUUUCCACAUACUUCAAAUCAAACUCUCGGUUGCUGAUUUUAUUCCUCACGAAGUGAACAUCUAUUUCAAUGUGUUUGGUUCUUCCAUGAAAGACUGGAUUUUCAGCAAGAGCUAUUGCACUCUUGUUGUCACACCAUAGUAUUGGCCUCUUCUCCAACUUGAUGUUCAUCUCUGCAAGUAAGGAUUGUAACCAAGUCAAUUUAGCUGCUCCAUUUGACAGUGAUCUAUAUUCUGCUUCUGUGCUGGAGGUUGAUACUACAUUCUGCUUCUUUGAACUCCACGAGACUAGAUUUCCUACCAAAAACAUGCAAUAACCACCUGUAGACUUUCUGUCAUCUCUAUCAGCUCCCCAAUCGGCAUCUGUGAAGGCUGAGAUUUCCAUUUUGUUUCCAGAUGUGAAGUACAGACCAUAAUUUAGGGUGCCUUGAAGGUAUCUCAAGAUCCUUUUGCAGCCUUGCCAGUGUAUCACUUUCCGUUCUUGCAUGAAUUGACUUAGUUUAUUUACGCUGUAAGCAAUGUCUGGUCGGGUGAUGGUUGCAUACUGCAAAGCUCCAAUGACACUUCUGUAGAGAGUUUUGUCUUCAAAAAACUGUCCUCCCUCUUCUUCUUCAGUCUCCAAGGUGUACUUCACACUUGAACUUAAUGGGGUUAUGCUUUCUCUGCACCCUUUCAUGUUUGUCUUCUCUAGAAGUUCUUGCACAUAUUUGCUUUGGCAAAUAUACAUCCCUGCACGAUCCCUUUUUACUUCAAUUCCAAGAAAAUAACUUAAUGAGCCUAGCUCCUUCAACGCGAAACUCUCAUUAAGCUUUUUAAUCAGGUCAUUGACAAGAUCUUGGCUACUACCAGUUAUGAGUAUGUCAUCUACAUACACAAGUACGUAUAUAACUUUUCUAUUAUCCCUCCAAUGAAACAGUGAGGUAUCCGAGACUGAGUUCUUGUAUCCCCAGCUAAGUAGGGCAGCUUUGAGCUUUUCAUACCAAGCCCUUGGAGCUUGUUUCAGUCCAUAUAAUGCUUUCUUUAGUCUAUAUACAUAGUUUUCCUUUCCUUUCACUUUGAAUCCUUCUGGUUGCUCCAUGAACACGGUUUCAUUUAGUUCUCCAUUUAAAAAGGCAUUGUUGACAUCUACUUGUUUGAUGUCCCAACCAUAGAUGACAGCCAAACUCAAGAGUACCUUGAUUGUGGAUGACUUGGCCACUGGACUGAAGGUUUCUGUGUAAUCAACCCCCGCUGUUUGGUUAUAGCCUUUUGCCACUAAUCUCGCCUUGUGUCUCGCUACUGUCCCAUAUGGAUUGUGCUUUACUUUGUAGACCCAUUUUUUUCCGAUGACCUUUGUACCCUCUUGAACUUUCACCAAUUCCCAAGUGUUGUUUUCCAGUAGAGCUUUGUAUUCAUCCAACAUAGCAUUUCUCCAUUUCACAUUCUUGAUAGCACUUGCUAUAUUUGUUGGUAACUCAUACGAACUCCUUUGUGCAAGGUAUAUUUUAGGCUUGUAGAUUCCAUGUUUGGAUCUGGUUACCAUAAGGUGUGUGUUUAAUGGUUCUAAUGGUCGCUCAGGUUCUAUAUUGACUCUCUCUUGUUGAUGGUUUGGCUCAGGUCGGCUCUCAUCCAAUUGUGUUUCUGUGUUUGGUUGAUGUGUUUGGAUCUGGUCUUCGUUUGGUGUUCUGAUUUGAUUUUCGAAUGAUGCUUGCAUUGUAUCUUGUGUGGAGUUAUGUCCACCCUCUUUGGAUUUUUUGUAUGGAUUGCUGUUUAAUUGUGGAGUUGAGAAAGUGCCACAAGGAAGUAAUAGAAGCUGCUGAUAGUUAGGUUGACUACUUGUCCUGCUUUCACUUUUGUUAGUCUCAAAGUUCUUAUCUAUAACAAAAGGAAACUCAUUCUCAUUGAAAAUCACAUGUCUAGCUACAUAAACUAUGCCUGUGUUAUCUAGACAUUUGUAUCCUUUGUGCUGUAAGCUAUACCCUAUAAACACACAUUUAGUGGUGUGGUACUGAAGUUUAUGUUGAUUAUAGGGUCUUAAAUAUGGAAAACAGGCACACCCAAAAGUUUUUAGGAAGGCAUAAUCAGGCUCAUUGUUGUAAAGUUUUUUGUAUGGACUGAUAUGACCUAGGGCCUGCGUAGGCAUUCUAUUGAUAAGAUAUGCAGCAGUUUCAAAGGCGUUCCACCACAGUUUUAAGGGCAUGUUUGCUUGUGCUAGCAUGGUGAGUGCUGUUUCUACAAUGUGCCUAUGCUUCCUUUCAACUUGACCAUUUUGUAUUGACGUAUAUGGACAGGAAUGUCGGAACAUGAUUCCAUUGUUCCUAAGAAACUUGGUUAAUGGUCUAAAUUCUCCCCCCAUAUCAGUCUGUAGACACUUGAUUUGUUUAUUUAAUGUUUUCUCUAUUUGAUUCUUGAAGUCAAUGAAGGUUUGUGCUGUUUCUGCUUUGCUGGUUAAGGGGUAAAUCCAUGUGUAUCUUGUGUGAUUAUCAACAAUACUUAAGUAGUACCUGUAACAUUUUCCUGAAAUUAUAGGUGCUGGACCCCAAAGAUCUGCAUGGAUCAGUUCAGGGGGCUGCUUUGUCUGUGUUUGUGAGCUUUUAAGAGUCAAUUUGUGAUUUUUACCAUAUUGGCAUGCAGUGCAGAAACUCAAAGAUUUUUCUUUAUUGAAAUCAGAUAAAUUUUUACAACUUGAAAUGAUUUUCAUAAGGGUCUGUUCACAAGGGUGACCAAACCUUCUGUGUAACAGGUGAAGUUGAUUAAUUGACUCACUACUAUGCUUAGGACUUAAAGACUCAUCAACACUUUCUGAGACAGAAGCCUCACUUAUUGAAGCAAACAAAGACUCUGAUUUGUAGACUCUAUCAGCAGCACAUCCCUUCCUUGGACUUACAUAUUCUUGACUUCCAACAAUCUGAAACAGCCCUCCUAUAUCAAUUCCUUGAAGAAGAACAUUCUCCAAUUUGUCCUUAACAACACAAGUUUCAUCAGAAAAUACAAUUGUUAGUUUGUUAUCUAUUGUAAGGCUAGAGAUACUUAGCAGGUUUUUGGUUAUUUGUGGAACUACAAGUACCCUUUUAAGCACAAGAUGUUCAUAUUUGUUACCAGCAUAUAUAGGCAAAAGUAUCGUUCCUGUGUGUGUGAUUUUAAGCUUGUGUCCAUUUCUCAUUAAGAGAAAGGAGUUACCUUUGUACUCAGACCUUACACUGAGGUUGUUGAGGUCAUUUGUGACAUGAUUAGUUGCUCCACUGUCUAAGUACCAGCCUGGUUCACUGCUUCCAUCAUUUGUUGCCAGAAAGGCUCCUCUUGGUUGACAAUUCUGAGGCUUUGGUUCAAAGUCAUCUUCUUUUCUGUACCAACACUCAUCAGCUGUAUGGCCCUCUUUGUGGCAGAUUUGACAAAAAACUCCAGGCUUGAAUACCGUCUUCUUUUCUCCAUGUGGUCUCCCUCUUCCUUUUCCUUUAUUUGGUCUUCCAGCACCAUUGUUGAGAGGUCCAAAGUAUUGAUUUUGUGGACUAAGGUACUGGUUUGGUGGUUGGUUCCUUGGUCUCUCAUUCCUCUUUUGGGUCCAGUUGUUCCUUCCUUGCCUUGAGGCCACAUUUGCUUCGAAAUUGUUGUCAUGAGUUGCAUUCUGCUCCAGUCUGGCUUCAUGGUUCAACAACACAGAAUACAUUUCAUCAAAGGUCAGUUCAUGAAGUCUUGAAGUGAGGUUAACAACAACGGACUCAAAAGAUUGGCCAAGACCAGUAAGCACAUGAGAACAAAGAUCUUCUUCUGAAACUGGCUUUCCUGCCAUUUGCAACUCAUUUGCCAAGUUUCUUACUUUUGUGCAAAACUCAGUGAUAGUUUGUGUGUCUUUUCUUGCACCAUGCAAUUGCAUUUUGAGAACUAUGGAUCUGGCUAUUGAUUGGGAGGCAUAAAGCCUUUCCAGCACAGACCACAGUUCUUGUGAAGUUGUGCAAUGUGUCACAGCAGUGAUAAUAUUCUCUGAUAUUGUAGAAAGAAGCCAACUUAAGAGAAGUUGGUCUUGUCUACGCCAGAGUGCAUAUGCAGGGUUUGCAGAUGCUAUGAAGUUGUUUUCUGCAUCAGCAUCCACUAGGAACUUUUCUGGACAUACAGAUGUUCCAUCAAUGAAGUUUUCCAGGCCAUUGCCACGGAUAGCAGGCAAGACCUGGGCUUUCCAUAUAAUGUAAUUUCCUCUGUCAAGUUUCAAAGGGGCUGUGAAGGAAAAACUUAUGGGUACAUGCAUAUUUGUGUGUGAGGAUGAUGAUUCAGUUUGUGUUUGGGUGGGUAAAGGACUUUGUGUUUGAGCUGGUGGUGUGUUGUUGAUCACAGCUUCUAGGGUUGGCUCAUUUGUUGCUUGAUUAUCCAUUUCUGGAUUUUUAAAGCUCUGAUACCAAGAUAAAAAAGGAGGCUAGUAGUUUUCACAAGCAAAAGUUAAGAAUCGAUUUUAUUUUUUUCAGCCUGUGGAUUCAUUGCUUUACAAUUCUUUAUAUAGAACUAGGUUCUCAUGUUUUAGUUACAUCAAGACCUAGCAUCAACGGCUAUCAAUUUCAUCACAAGACAUUACAAAAGUUGUUAUAACAACCUGACACUGCAGUUUGUCUUCUUGUCUUCAGUUGCUCAGUCUUGUCUUUAGCAAGUUGUGAUAUCUUGCUCCUUCAGCUUGAUUACCAUCCAAUCUUGACCUUUGAUGCUUCUAGCCAUCCAACGACUAAUAUUCAAACAUCAGAUGGCUUGCUUAAUUCAAGAGAUUCAUGAGUUCCCGCCAAUGCCUUCAUUGAGGUAUAUUAUCAAACAAUUGUGCAGCAACCUCAGACACAUUUAUUUUAACUACCCGCUUCGCCCUUGCUGUCCCUUGGUACUUCUUUUUCAAGGAAUCCCAAAUUUGUUUGGAGGAGUCUUUGUUAAGAAUUGUUUCCAAGAUUGAGCGAUCAAUAGCUUGGAAUAAGUAAUUCUUUGCCUUGAGAUCCUUUAAUCAUUGCCCUUCAAGCUCUAUUUUCUGAGCAUCCGUCAAAACAACACCGGCUGGUGGUUCAGUUAUUCCAAUUGAAACAACUUGCCAAUACUCCUUGGACCUUAAGAAAUUCUCCAUCAACAUGCUCCAAUGGUCAUAGUGACCAUCAAAGCGGGGAAUUGCAGGUUGAACAAAAUUCUCAGAAGCCAUGAAUUUCUACUGCUGCAACACGAGUGCAAAAAGAGCCAAGUAAGCUACUAUUACUAACUCUGUCAAUCCACUUUUCUAAUUCAAGCUCUGAUACCACUGUUAUAAGUGAAUAUGAAAUAGUUCACUCAAAGCAAGGAUAAAUGGAUGAAAGUACUACACAUUUUAUUCACAAUGAGGUUGCCUUUUAUAGGCGUUACAUGAACAAACUUAACAAAAUAAUAGCAGCCAUUAUUCAGCAAAUACUGCAGCUACUUUCCAGUAACUAUAGCCUAAAGACUAGGUAAACACAAUCUUGCAAAUAACAUUACCAACAAACUUCCUAAAGACUAAGACCAUAAAAGCAACUUAUUCACACAAGGAAAUUCCAACAAUAAUAUUAUAAAAUGUAAAAGUUUUAAUGGGGUGUAUUAAACGGGGUGUACCCCAUCACUAUCUUAAGAAUGGUGAUUUUGAUGAUUUGAUCCCUUAUUAUAUCUCACAAGCCCCCCAUUUUUUAGUUAAUUCCAUUAAAAAUUUUAAACAAAUUUUUAUCUCUCAAUAUACCUUACCUAAUCUCUAAUUUACCUUUAUUUUAAUUUUUUUUCAUACACCCAUUGUAUAAAUUUUAUAAAAUCAUUUCUUAAAAAAAAAUCUCAUAAUGAUUGUAAUUUCUCAACUUUUUUUUAAGGUUUUAUCCACCACUUAAGAUUUGAUAGUUCCACCAAGAAUUGGAGCAAAGAACCAUGCCGAGUCGACCCUGAAUAACCUUAGUAUCGUGCUAAGCCUAUCAAGCCAAAGUUGAGUGAAGGAAUACAAGAAUUUGGCCAAGGUGUUUGACGUGAUAAAGAUACAGAUUUUUUAUUAUUAUAAUUGAUUUGGAGCUAAAAAGGGGAUUCUCGAUUUCCUUUUGUAUGCAUCCCAAUCUUGUAUUCAAGUUUAUUUGUUCAUGGACCAGAAUGCAUUGCAUUUGGAAAGUGUUUGCAAUUGUACAGUGAUAUUACUUGGACAGUAAUUUGGCGUUGCAAUGCAUUUACAAAACGAAUGAAAAUUUGGAAUCGCGAUGGAAAAUACUGUCAGGUAUCUAUCUGAGAAUGAAAGCACUCGCUGUCAGUCUCUAUGGGAUUGCAGUAUAAAAUUUUACAUUGUUCUUCAAUAUUUUGAAUAGAAUGUCUUACUUUGAAUGGAAUGGCGCAGUUUAAAAAAUUAGAAGAAAUUAGAGUUUAAGAAAUUAGAUUCGCUUAAUUAGUUAUUAAUAGAAAUUUUUAUGUCGGUGCACUUAAAAAUUAUUUAUUAUUUUAAGUUAUUUCACAUGAGAAUAAAAUAGGUAUUAACAUAAAAGUUAUUAGUGUGGGUUGAUAAGAUAUAAUAAGAGAUUUAAACAUCACCACUCUACUUAUAGAGCAGCUCCAAAAACGAUCUCAUUGGUCGAAAAAGGCUUGACCCAUUGAACGAGGACCCUUAAAAUUUGAUCCUAGCUUGACCCAUACGACAGGCUGAACAGGUCGGUCCUUUACACAAUCAAAACAAACUUGUGAGUAGGGGUGGGCAAAUAACCCAAUCUGAUUCGACCAAAAAACUUGAGUUCAGAUCGGAUGUAGAUGAAUUUCUCAAUCCAAUUAGGUAGGAAUCUAUCCAAAUCGAUCCGAAAUUACACACAAUUAAAGAAUAUUAUUUGAAAUUUUUUAUCCAUUCCAAAUAUAAUUCGGAUUCAAUUAUAAGUCUGGAUUGAGCUUGGAUUACUUUUUUCCUAACUCGAUUAACCGGAACUCGAACCCGAUCCGAAACCGAAUUUGCCGACCCCUACUUAUUAUCGUUUACACAUUACAUUUGUGACUAUCAUUUUUAAACUAAAAUUUUCUCUUGAUGCGAAUAAGAAAAAAAAAUACAUAGAGUAAAUUUCGUUUAAAAAAUGAGGCACCAUAGAUGGACCGUACAUAUGGUACAGCUAGCUGAAAUGGAAGUAGCCUUGUGAGUUGUGAGAGCUGCCUAUUUUGGAUUCAGGACGAAAUAUUUAAGAAGCAAGCAAGUAAAUAAAUCAAGAAAAUAAUAUUCCGCCACCCUCAUUCCAGAGGGAAGCCAAAAACGACAUGCUUUUGUGCCGUUUUGAAGUUUUAGAUUUGAAAAUUAAAAAUAAAUUUUACCAUUAAAAAAUAAUAAAAGCUAAUCAAAAGAAAUUAAAAAAUCUAAAUUCUUAUCCCUCCCCUCGCUCACCCCCUCUCUCUUUGACUCACCCCGCUCUGUCCCUCUCACUCUCACCCACGAAGCUCGUUCCCCUCUCACUCACCCACAAGCUCACUGUCAAUAUUUUUCUCAGAUCUCAGCUAACGCAUCAUCAAAACCGCAACCAUGACGCUAGGCUGAGGAGGAUCCAGUGUCGUGGGUCAGUUUCUUCUCUGAUCUUGCCAUUUUUUGUUCAAUCUAUUUAUGCCCUGGAUUGAUUUAUUCUCUUUGUUUUGUUGUGUUUCUUGUUCUGGCAAAAUCUAUUUGUCUAAUUCACAUACGGGUCGUAGCCGUUGCUUUUAUUAUUUUAUAAUUUUUUUUGGGUAGUUUUGUGUAGUCUUAUGAACAUUCUUUUUGGCAUAAAUGCAUCUGGGUUGCUACGUGCCUACGUUUGAUUGUUAAUUAGACCUGAUCCGUAAUUCUAUGCGUUUUUUGAAUUUUUGAUUGCGAAAUUAAGUUAAUUUAGUUUAAUAUGAUUACAUUAUUGUCACCUAAAAUUAGUAUAUUUAAUCAGUUAAAGAAAUUCUUUUGACAUGGACUUUAAUGAAACCUUGUAUGUGAUACUUUGCUUAGCAAAGUACUUGGAUUUUGGAUUUUUUUUCUAUUUAUAUUUUAAAAUUACUAGAAAUAAGUUAUUUGAAGUGUGAUACUUUGUGAAAUGUUAAAGCUUACGGUUUGGUUGUAAUUCUGUUUUUGCUUAUAUAUGUUUACGUCUGUUGGCAUUCUUUUUUUUUUUUUUUUUGGUAUUUGAAGUUUGCAUAUAUGGUGUGUAUUAAGAUUUUCAAGUGGUUCUUCAAACAUAUUCUGGGUAGUUUGAUAUAUCCAUGUUUCUGUGAAUUCUUUAGUUGAGGCAAUUGUUUUUGGUCUUAGCUGCAUUGUUAAGUUCUUUACCACAUAGAAUUCCCUAAUUUUCUUCUGCUAAUCCAGUAAUUGCAGCUUCAUUCUAAGGUUCUUCAUUUUCUAUAAAGCAUAUAUUGCUUCAUUAACCCUCCUCUAAAUAUGUUGCAAAUAUGUAUUUGAUUCAUUCCAAUCUUACAGAUCAUUGUUGGAUGCCGAAUCAGCAUACAAUGCUUACAAUUAUGAGAGAAAAAUGAACAACCAAUUGCCCAGUUCAGUUACGCUUUAAGCUAGGAAGAUUGACGUAGAAACAUUUGUUUAAGUGUAAUUACCUAGGUAGGUGAAAAAGGUCCAAAAUCGUCAAGCACACUGUCAACUAAGGCUGGUCGGCGACGUGAACGGCGUGAUAGCGAUGUCGGUGAUGGGCUGGUCGGCGAUGGGCGUGGCGUGACAACAAGUUUCGUGGGUGAGUGACAGCCUGAGAGAAAUAGCUCGCAAGUGGGUGAGUGAGAGAGACAGAUCGGGUGAGUGAGAGGGAAGGUGAAUGAGAGAGAGACAGAGCAAGCGAGUGAGAUGGAUGGGUAAGAAUUUUGGAUUUUUCAUAUUCUUUAGAUUUAAUUUUAAUAUUUUUCAAUGGUAAAAUCUAUUUUUAAUUUUCAAAUUUAAAACUUCGAAACGGCAGAGGAAGCAUGCGUUUCUGGCUUCGUUAUGGUCUCGUGGUGGCCGAAUAUCAUUGCCCAAUAAAUCAUGAUUCUUCGAGAGACCCAGCAACCGCUUGUGAAAACACAAUGGUUAUUCCUAAAGCCAAGCAACUCUCAGCACGAAAAAGUGUUAAGUGGCCAACAACUCCUAACAACCCUUAGACUAAGUCCAGCACUUACCAUACUAUGUCCUAUAUAAUUGAAACGUAAAUAGAUUAUUGACAGCAAAACAAAAUAAUAACUUAAUAUAAUGACGUGUAACAAUGUACAUUUUUGUCAAUUAUGCGUUAGUGUUUGAUGCCCUUCUUUCAAAAAUAAAUAAAAAUUGAUGCAUAUGUACCGCAAUGUCAGUUCUGAGGGAGCUGUGACGAGUAAUGAUUAAAAUAUACAAGUGAUGAAAUUUUGAAUUAUGAUAUAAAUGCAUAAAUGGCAUAAUAUUAAUUAUUAAAUAUAGCAAGUAAAUUUUGAUGCCAUCAUUUUAAAAAAUUAACAAAAAAAUAAACAAAUUGAUAUUCAUGUGCAUGUCUAAUGUUUUAUUUAUAUAAGAUUAAAAUUCUCUUUUCAUCUGGGUUUUUAUUUGAGCAAAUACAAUUAUUGGUAGUUAGCAUAUAGAAGCACAAUUAAAAAGUAUAUCUCGACCGUGCUCAUGUACAUGUCGAAAGAAUUAAAGAAAAGGAGCUCUCUAGAUUCUGUUUGUUUGAUAAGAAAAUGAAUGGAAAAUUUUAUUGAUUCAAAGAGAAAAUUUGUUCGCUGGAUUCUUAUUUGUAAGUCUUACUAAUGAAUUGAGAGUACAUUGAUAAAUAUAGCUGUGUGUGGAAACUUCUACUGCAACAAACUCGUGUCCACAUUUCCAGCGCGCUAACUAUAACAACCUACUGACUAAGUUUGGAAGGAAAUAACAACUUGUUUAACUGUUUUACAACUUGGCUGCUGACUCAUCAUUACACUGAAAACCCCAGCUGACUUCAACUGCUGACUUAGCAUUUAUUCUUAACAGAAAGAUAAUGAUAAAAAAGUUGCUUCAGAAUUCGUGGGCACGCACGGACCCUACUUGUAGAACUCCAUAACCCAUAAGUUGUAAAAAAAGCAUACAAAUCUGAUGCCACUAAAUCCAGCUUCAGUAGCCAAGGUCGUGAAUUCAUGCUUUGUUCGCUCCUUUCCUCCCGGAUAUUGAGUCAUCACCAGCACAUCAGCUAGGGAAUUUAUUUUUGAAUGAGUGCUAGUCUCAGGCAGUUCUGGAAGUACUGACUCCACAACAAUUACCUUCCCUCCUUCGGGAAUACUUUUGUAGCAAUUCUUCAAUAACUUCAAGCAAUGUUCAUCGCUCCAAUCGUGCAGUAUCCACUACAAAAUUUGAAAUAUUAUGAAAUUUGUUCAGGGAUCGAACGCCUAAUACCUGCAAAUUAAAUUCAAAUGAAACUUACCUUGAUCAAAAUGGCGUCGCCAUUUGGAACACUUUGAAACAUGUCACCCCCUACAUGCUUAACACCUGUACUACAUACAAUUUAGUUUCCGCUCUUAGGAUCUAGCGGUAUGGGCAGAGAAUUCAUAAGAGCACUGAUAUUCGCGAAAAGAAUUUAGAUAAAAUUCUGACAAAAACAACAAUAAAUCAACCCUGAUUUUUUCACUAAAUUGCAAAUAUGGUAAAUCGAGUCUGUUUUGAUGUUUUUUGUCAGUUUUUUCUUGUUGCAACAUUUUGUGCUUUUACCCUUUUUUUCCAAAUGAUAAUGUAUAUUUCUUCAUAACAAUGACAUUAAAAAAAAAAAAAAAAGAGAUUGGAAUCAAUUUUCUAAUUAACUUCCUACUUUCUCCAGGAUUUAUAUUGGGAUGAUUAAUUAAAGAAAGCUACUUAAAAGCCACUUGACCAAGUCCCUAACAUUAUUAUAAAGAUAAUUGAAAGUUCAUACCAGGAUACUCAGGGGAAUGCUGUAUAACGUGAGGCAAGUCGAAAUUGAUGCCCUUAAUGUGGGGAUACUUGGAAGUAAUUGCUUUAAGGGUAUUGCCAAGGGAACCGCCAACAUCAACCAAUUGCUUUAUGUGCUCGAAACCCUUGUAAGCCUCAAGGAUUUUUUGAAGGACCAAAGUGGUAUGGUUGAACAUCGCUGUGCUGAAAACUUCAUUGAACCUGGGGUCCAAUCCUAGGUACUCGAAAGCGUUCGUUCCGUGGACUCGGUCAAAUGGAACUCCUCCUUCAAUAAUAGUUUCUUUCAGUUGGGACCUACAUGACCAGUUAAUCAAUCAUCAUUUUGCGUUUGGCCGAACUUUUUUAGAUACAAUGAUUAGUGGUUGAUAAAAACAAAAAUAAUAAAGGGAUAUAUCUAUAUUAUAUAUAUGACGAUGUAAACGUUUCAUAAAAUCCCUUAACAGAUAAGAUGAGUAGAGGAUUCAUUGCCAUUAAAAAUUUUAUGUUAUAUCUUAACUCAUAACUGUCACAUACAUCUUUAUGAAAACGAGCAAAAAAAUGGGAAUCAGGGUAAUAUUAUCAUACGGGUGGGUUGCUAAAUUUUAGCAACGGCACAAAUUAGGAGAUAUGUAGUUUGUAGUACUUUUACAUAUAGCUAGCUCCUGCUGUUAUUUUGUUUUCCCUAAAAGAUUUUAUUUCUAAUUCUCUCCAGGCAAGUGAUCAUACCACCCCAAGUGAAUCUUUUAAUUCAGAGAAAUUCUACGGAAGAAGUUAAGAAAUUUUUGUUCUUCCAGGAUUUCUGUCAGAACGGAAGAAACUACUCAAUUAAUGCUUUCAAUAGAACAAAAUACAUUGUCUUUUUCAUAUAUGUUACACUCAUGUCCUCUAUAAUUAAAAGACAAAAAUACCUCCGAAAGAAAACAUAUUUCCUCAUAUCCUCUGUAGCUGCAAGUAAUUAAAACACCACCAACAAUAGUUUACCCGUUCUUGAAUUGAUAUGACUAGAAGUAUAUUAAUAAUGAUUUAUAAGUUUGAGAGUGAGCCUUCUACAUUUUAUCGCUCACUUAUAUGAACACGUUUGUUUUUCUUUUUCGAUGACCUGAAUUUAGAAAUAAGUUGAGUAUGAAGUCGAUUAUGAUUUAAGACUUGGGAGAAAUGCAUGAUUGGAUCUGAAGGCGUAGAAAGAGAAUUGUAUUAUAAACCCAUGUAUUUUUACCCUAACUUAAAAAAAGAAAAAUUCAGGGGAUUAAAAUGAUAGAGUGGACAAACCAGCUGUCGAGAAAGGCCUCGUCCUGAAUUAAGGCCAAUACAGGGCCUAAUGAGACACCAUCUUGAUUAGGCACAAAGUAUUUGGAAACAUCAUUCAAACCGUAUAGCCUGUGAGAACCAUCUACAUCAUCAAGUGAGCAUUCAACAAUACCAUAGCUAGCCAGAAGCCCGAGUAUCCGGUCCAGCAUCGUGGGUGCGUCUUUGUUCUUGGUGGCGGGCAACUGAGCGGCAAUCUCUGAAGCUGAGAGCUUUGCUCCAGGACCAGCUUUGGCUAUGAUCUCCAAAAGUCCCAGCUUAAUUACUGCUUUCAUGGUCAUGUGGAGCACUGAACCCGUCAUCACUUCACAGGCAUAUGCAAAGUUUUCGUCUCUCGCUUCAUUAGCCAUAUUUUCUUGAAUUUCCUUAUCUGUUUUCCUCAGAAACAAUGCAUUUAUAGUGGAGUGAAGAGUUACUGUGUGUCCAAGAUUUUAGGUUGUAAAAUCUGACCCGGAAGUUUUCGAUAGUUCAAGUUAGACUAAAUGACAGAAAUUAAAUUAUGAUUAUAACUUUUUCAAAGAUAAAAGUAUGGAAGCUUGGCAACUCUAAAAAAAUUAUAUUAUUAGGGAUAAAAACUUUAUUUAAUUUGCAUAAAUUGAAAUGACAUAUUGCAUGAUUCUACAUGUCUCGUAUUAUUUCUUUUAUUUUGUCGACUUUAAAAAAUCUGAAUGGCCAACCUCUUCGAAAAUGUAUUUAAUAGUUUUUUAUAGCGAUGUAUUGUUCAAUAGUUUUUUAUAGCGAUGUAUUGGAAGUAAUUUAAAAGAUCAAACAUUUCAAAUGAGAUCCUAUUAUCAAACAAGAGGAAUUCUAAAAUAUAUCGGAGGUAUUAUGUCAGUUACACAAUAAGUCAAUAAUAUUAUAGAAUGUGUGCAUUUAUUUGAAAAAUUACCAUGUAAGUGGUACUUAUAUUAAAUCCAAUUACACACGUCACAUAUACAUUGAUUAGUUGUAUUACCCCUGAUUUAUUCUAAAAUUUAUCGUCAAACAGAGAGCUUUUAGUUGAAAUGAGGAACUAUAAUUAUUUACUGACAUAAGUUUUUCCUUUGAUUAUAAUAUAUUAACAUUUCAUGUGAGGAAAUAUUAGUUUUACAUUUUUUUUCCUAUUAUAACAUGUUUUAAAAAAGGAUUAUAAUUCUUACUUAGUUUUUUUUUUCGCAUCUAGUCUUUUUUAGUGUUCCGAAUUUAGUGAAAAAAGGCAGCUUAAUUAUAAAUAAAGUGAAACAUUCUGGCUUAAUUGUUAACAUUAAAAUUUAAAAUUCAAUAUUAACCACUUAUUUCAUUAAAAGAGACUAAAAGAGAGAGAGAGAGAAGAUUCUUGUCCAAAAGAAAAAUAAAAUAAAGAAAAGCAAACGAAUACUUCACUUUCAUCGAAAUUUUCAAAUAUCAAUUUUUAUGACUUUAGGCCAAAUUUGCCAUGCAAAAUUGGAUUGGAUUAAUUAUUAGAAUAAGACUGAAUUAGAUUACUUGGAUAAAGUCGAAUUAUAUUAUACUGUCUUAUGUUUGGUGUAGUACGAGAUUGAACUAUGUUAAAUUAUAUUUCAAUGAUAUCAAAUAGCAUUUAAGUUGAUAUUUGAAUAUGAACAUCAGUUAUUCAUGAAAUUUUAUAACAAUAAGGAAACAAAUUUAAAAAGCAAUUAAUUAGAAAAUUAAGUAUAUUGUAAAUAAGUUAUUAGGUAGUCAUAAUAUAAUAAACAAAUGAAAAAGAAAUAAAAAUUUAAAAAUUUAAUUAAUUUUUAUCAAAUAUUUAAAAAAAAUUAUAUAAAAUCAAUUAAUUCUGGUAUUUUUAAUUUUCAUGAUUAUUUUUUAAUAUUAUAUUAGUGAUUAUUAAAUUUUAUACAAUCACUAAUGCAAUAAGUUAUUAAAUGGUUAAUUUAUAAAUUAUUAAAUAUACAAGUAAUGAAAAUUUAAUCUCAAGAGUUAUUAGAAGUAAAAUUGUCAAUUUAAUUAGAUCAUAUAUAAUAAAUAAAAAUCUUAAGUAAAUCAUAAAUAAAAAUUAAUUGAUUAAUUAAUAUUAACAGAUAAUUUUUCUUUAAUUUUAUCCAACUAAACAAAUAUGUAAAUUAGGAUUACUAAUCCGAUGAUUUUAGGAUUAAAUUCAAAUUUAGUCUCCUUUAAUUCAAUUCAAAUAAAUUUAUCAAAUAUAAAAUAAAUAUUUAAUUUUAGAAUUAGUGCAAUUGGAUACUUAAUCCUACAUCCAAACAUGGUCUCAGUUGUCAUAAGGGCAACUUAGAAAGAGUCGUAACCGAAAACAUUUAUAAAGCCAUUUUUUCUUUUAAUUUUCAGGUUCAUAUAUAUAUAUAUAUGUGUGUGUGUGUGUAUAAUCUUUCUGCCAAUGAAGCGCCUACCAAUCAGAGAAGUUAAUUUUUUAAUAUAUUUUUCGACGCCGGCCCCACCCCUGAUCUUAUAGCUUUGACUCCAGAUGAAUGAGGCUUUUCAUUCACGUUAUUCUUUGAAAGAUCGUGAUUCCAAAGGCUGCUGACAAAAGAAGAUUCUGGAGGCUGCCAAUCAUGGCCAUCGCUGCAUAAAUAUAUAUAUAUUAAAUCAAACAGGAGUGCGGUUACUUUAUACGUACAACUUGGGUUCUUGCCUUGCUGCCGUCAUGGAGAAUUAAUGCCACUGGUCAACGGUGAAUCAAUGGCCAUCGGGCACCAAAUUCAUGACCAAUCAAUGGCCAACAAGCACCAAAUUAAUGCCAAGCACACCAACAACCACGGAUUAAAUGGCAAGUUUAGUGUUUUAAAGUUUAGAAUAUGGAGAAGCACUUGCUACUGUAUCCAGGUAUUAAAUCAUCAAAAACCAAUUUGGUUUGGACUCUUCAAUUUCAAUUUGACUUCUACACCAACACCACACAACAACUCAACAACCGAAUCACUCGUCCUAAUAGCAUAGCAAUCCAGUCGUCGGUUGCCCGCACGUGAGAGACAAUUUUCUUAUUCGUGCUCGGAAUUGUUGAAUUAAUUUUACAAUUCUCUUGUACCAAUUUUCAUCAUAUAUGCUCCCUCAAGAAGUGAAGAUCGAUGUCGGAAUCACUUUAAUUUAGUUUCAAUUACAUGAUGUUUGGGAUCUUCUUAUACCAAUUUCGGUCUACAAUUGCCUCAAGUAUCCAUGUCCGUCAAAUCUUAUUUGUAUUAAAGCAACCGCUUAAACCGUUAACCUGUUUGAUUUAAAAAACAAAUAUUUGGAGCUGUUAGAUUGAACUCGUGUAAAUUAGGAUUACUAAUCCGAUAAUUUUAAAAUUAAAUUCAAAUUUAGUUUCCUUUAAUUCAAUUCAAGUAAAUUUAUUAAAUAUGAAAUAAAUAUUUAAUCUUAAAAUUAAUCCAAUUGGAUACUUAAUCCUGACAUCCAGACAAGGCCUUAUUUGCCUUAAAGGCAACUUAAAAAGAGGUGUGACCGAAAAUGUUUAUAAAGCCUUUUUUUUUUUCGGGUUCAUAUAUAUAUAUAUAUAUAAUCUUUAUGCCAAUGAAGCACCUGUCAAUUAGCGAAGUUAAUUUUUUUAAAAUUUUUUUUCGACUGUGAUUCUGGAGGCUGCUGUCAAGACAAGAUUCCAGAGGAUGCUGAUAAGACAAAUUCAAAUUGACCUUUUUAAUAAUUAUUAUCUUUUCUAAGGUUUAAAAUUUUAUGUGUAACGUACAGCUAAUGUGAUGUAAGUUUUACCUGAUGUAUGAGUUGAUGAACCAUCAUGGUGAAAUCAAAAUACAAAAAUAAUAGAGGUCAAUAACAGCAUUCAAAAGAAAAGAAAAAUUAAAACACAAAGAAAAUAAGGCCGUUGGAUUCGUUUUUUCAAUUUUUUUUCUGAAUAUUAAUACGUUACAAUGAAAGAACUUGCUAAUAUUUUCCAUAUUGAUCAGGAUAAAAAGAUUGUUGAUACAAUCAUACGUCAAUUUUGUAAUAUUAUAGUACAAUUCAAAAGUUUUAUUUUAUUUUAAAAUAUAUUUAUCCUACAUAUUUAUAAAAGAUAUUGUAAAAGAAUUAAAUUAAUUAAGAUAAAAUCUUCCUGCAAUCAUACUUGUUCAAGCUUCAAGUGUUCUCUACAUUCACUAAAUUUUAUAAAAGUAUCUUCUUACUUUUUCUACUCUAUAGCCUUUCUCUUGUGAUGGAAAAUAAAUUCUUAACAAGCAUAGACUUGGAUAGGCUAGAAACCCUUUUUAUAACAAUAUUUCAUAACUUAGAAGACUUUACACUUCCUCCAUCAAAGAAGUGAAUUUAAUAACCUUUAUCACUUCGAUUAUGAAAAUGAUUAGUAAACUAUAAUGCUAUCCCUUGAAAUAAAUAAGUAGGUUAUUAAUAUAAGUUUAUCUAUUUAUUUAAAAAAAAAUCACUUAUCAUGUGGACUAUAUAAUGAAACUUUGUGGAGAUAUAUCUACCCACAUUUAACUAUAUAAUGAGAUAUGAAAUUAGAGGUCCAAGGAGUAGUACUCAAAUCUACAACCUCAAAAGUUGAGGUCGUGGCAGGCAAAAGAAAAAGGAGAACCACGUGUUGCUAGGAAAGGAACUUACAUGAGUAACUGCAAAUUAAGCAAACACUAAAUUUUUCACUCUUUAUAUGAUAAAAUCGGAAUGUGUAUAAAAAAUAAACAAUCAAAAAAUAAACCAACACAAUUGAAAACAAUAAAUCAACCAUAAGAGAUACAAAUUAUUUUAUGUGGAAAACUCAAAUCGAGAAAAAACCACAGGACCAUAGUCCAAUAUAACCUUCCAUUAUAUUAAUAAUGGGAUUACUGCACAAAUUCUUCUCUAAAUAAUACUAGAGGCAAACAAUAUCAAGAAUCUCAACAAUCUUGCUCAUAGUAAUAGUCUAAUAUUUUUCAUUCUAACAAGUGGGUAUCUCAGAUAACAGCCAAUGAGAGAAUGAAAUAAAAAUCAAGACCAGUAAGAAUGUAGAGGGCGAUGCCAAAAAUUUACCUUCCAAAUUUGGGAGAUUAAGUUUGCCUUUCGAUCGUCCAUUCAAAGAUUAAAAUCCUUACCCUCAAAUUGAGUUGGCCACUGUCUUCUUUUUCUCUCUCAUCUUUUCUAUGUUUUUAAGGCUGCUACUUCACUUGUCUACUUUUUCUUUUAUAGCCAGGUGAUUUUCAAAGCCCAAUUUGAUGACAAUUUUCAAUUAGCCAUAACAUCUUUCCUUUAAUUUCUUAAACACCCAAACUAAUGGAAACUUUGGUUUGGGCCACCCAAAUGAGAUGGAUUCAACAAAUCUUCCCAUCAGAUCAUAUGGGGGGCACUACCAAGCCCGUUCUCUGCUGACAGUCUUUCAGCUUCUCCUUGGGCAACGACUUUGUCAUCAUAUCUAACAUAUUCUUCAUGAAUAUAGUCAGGCUGCAACUAUUUCUUUUCAAGCACGUCUUGUAUUCAUUGAUACCUCACAUUAAUAUGCUUGAAUUUCGAAUGGUAUGUUAAAUUCAUUGCCAAGUGAGAGCACUUUGAUUAUCACAGUACACGACAUAGCUAUUUUGUUUCACAUCCAGCUCUUGAAAGAAAUUCUUCACCACAAAGGGUUUUAGUGAUUGCAAUAUACUCUGCUUCUGUGGUGGAGAAAACAACACGAAGUUUGAAAUCCUCUUAGACUACCCUUUGCAAAGGUAAGUAAAUAUCCUGAUAGGAAUUUUCCAGGAUCAACAUCUCUUGCCAUAUAUGUUGUACACUUAUAACACAGCUUGUCACCAUUAAAACAUAAACAUGCCUUGGAAGUGACUCUGAGAUAUCUGAGGAUCCAUUUAACUGUUGUUCAGUGUUCUUUGCCUGUACUAUAAAGAAACUGACUGAGUACACCAACUGCAUGGGCAAUAUUUGGUACAAGCCAUGGCGUACAUCAGUCUGCGAAGUGUUGAAGCAUAAAAUAGUCCUUUCAUCUGCUGCUUCUCUUUCUCGCUUGUAGGAAAAUGCUUGGAACUAAGCCUAAAAUGGCCUGCAAGUGGAGAACAAACAUAUUUUGCCUUGCUCAUGUUAAUUCUUUCAAGAGCACUUUCAAUAAAUGCUUCUUGAGAUAACCAUAACUUGUCAAUUUUUCUGUCAUAGGAAAUCGUCAUGCCAAGAAUGUAUUUUUCGAUCCUUGAUCUUUUAUUAUAAAUGACUUGCUAAGCUUUUUCUUUAGAUUAUCAAUCUUACUAGCAUCAUGGUCAACAAUUAACAUAUCAUCCACAUAAAGAAAAAGAAUGAUAAAAUUAUUAUCACCAAGCUUCUUUACAAAAAGAGAAUGGUCAGACAUAAUAUUGCUAACCAUGAUUCUCUGUAAAAAAAUCAAAUUUUUUGUAAUAUAGUCUUGGUGCCUAUUUCAGUCAAUACAAACUUUUCUUCAACUUGCAUACACUUUCUUUGUUGCCUUUAACAUUGAAUCAUUUAGGUUGCCCCAUGAAUAUCUCCUCCUUUAAGUCACCAUGCAAGAAACUCCUUCUCAUAUCCUAGAGACUUUCUAUCCAUCAACAUCCAAGAUUUAUCCAUAUUUAGACUAUUAACUUUCCUACAAAUGCAUCACAUUUCAUUUGUUCAGUUUUAUUAAUAUUGGAGUUUGAUAUUGUUUCCAACCAUAAGAACAACUAUUAAAGUUACAAAAUCAACAAGAAAACAGCAGUUAAAAUACAAUAAAAAAUAACACUUAACAGCAAGAGAAAACCUAUAUCUUCAUCAUGACUAAUUAUAACAGUAAUAUUAUAAGCCAUAUACCAUAAAUCAUGGAAAGAGCAAAUAAUAUAAUUUUCAAAAAAUAGAGAAAUAGAAAAAAAUAGAAGUACCUUUUGCUAUUCGUUCCAAGAAUCGCGGAGCUAGUAACAACUUAAGAGACUGAAUCACGACUAAAAAUAGAGAAGAAUAGAAGCAAGACUUGUUUUUAGAUUUCUACUGAAAAAGACAAAAUUAUUGAAAUAAAACUUGUCCACAACAAUAAACUGGCUAGCUAUUAAAAUGAUUUAAACAAUCCAUAAAUAAAGUAUUAAAUUAAGUAUGCAAAUGUCACAUGUAGCAAAACAACAUAUACAAUACGAUGAAAUUUCAACAGCAAAAUUGGGUGUUAAAACCGUUAAAUAAAAUCCAUUUUUCCAUUAGAGAAAUCUAAAUUUUGAGAAUUUUGGUUUAGCUUGCUUUGGUCAAACUCAGUCGGUCUGCACAGUGACAAAGAAAAAGAAGCAGUUGAAACAAAAUGAGAGUGACAUUGCAUAGACUUGAUAGUGAAAUGUCAUUUUCUUGAUGCUAAUUUAUUCCGUUUCUAUUUGGAAUGAUUGAUACAAGCGGAAAGGUUUUAAAGAAUUGCUUAAAAUACUUUAUAGGUGCAAAGAGCAAUUGCAGCAGUUUAGCCAUGUAAAUAAGUAAGCACUUGACCAGUAUGUAAAGUUCACAAAGUAGCUAGAAGAACUCCAGAGAAGGCAUUAGUAGAAUGUAGCCACUAUAAAAAUUUCCACAAACAAAUUAAUUUAUAAAAAAGCACUGGAUAAGGAGUUAAGCAUACAUUAAUUUGUUUUUGGAACAUACAGCGAAAUUUCCAUAUUGGCUACUAUUCUACUAAUGGUUUCUUUCCACAAUUCCCAAUAUUAAGAUCUAUUGAAAACUAAGCAUACAUUAAAUUGCUUGUGGAAAUUUACAUAAGUCAAUAUAACAGCAGUUGAACUGGAUGCAGUUUGGGUGGAGAAAAAUGGUUUAUGUUCCUAAUUCCCAUUAUUAUGUUCUAUUGAAAAUUAAACAUACAGUAAUUUAUUUCUGGAAAUUUACAUAAGUCAAUAUAAUAGUAGCUGAACUGGAUGCAGUUUGGGUGGAGAAGUAGUGAGCGCUGGUUUUGGUGGAGGUGUUGUCAUUAAAGAGGUACUAAAUAACUACAACUUUAAAUCAAAAGAAAGAGUUUGUGCUAAUAUUUGCCAUGCAUAACUUCAACUUUAAAUCAAACUAAUGCUUACAAAUGGCAUGCAUCCAUAUCCACCACGUCGCAUACUACAUCACUCUUAUAAAUCUUUCUAAUGGAGAAAGGAACACGACAUUAUUCGCAUUUUUGUCCCUUUCUUAAUCUACUAUAUUUUGUAAGGUGCUGGAUAUUUUUCUGUUGAAAGUCCUAUCACAUCAAUUAGCGCCUUUAAAAUUAUGUUCUCGCUAUUGUUGAUAUCAAUUAUCACAUUGCACACGUUAUCUUUGAUGGUGCCACGUGUUCUGAAAUCUUACUGCACUAAUUAUCCUCUUCAAAUCUUGGUGCUAAUAAAAUCUUCUACAUAGUGUAAUUCAACAUCUCUCCUUCAUGUACCUCUUAACUCUAAAGCUUCUUCAUCAUCUUCAUCCUCAACAUUAUUCAUCUCUACUUAGCCAUAGCGUUUAUUUUCUCUCUUUCAAAUAUCAAAUAAUGGUUAAUAUUUUCUUCAGGAUUAUCUUUUCUUUCUUGCUUGUGAUGCUGCUGCUGCUGCUGCUCAUGAAUGAUAAAGUGGCACUAGGGCAAGAUGGGGAUCCCGUGGGAUCAACACAAGGAGGAGGAGGAAGAGAAAUGGUGCCUGCCUUGUUCAUUUUUGGAGAUUCACUUAUCGAUAAUGGCAACAAUAACAAUCUUCCUUCUUUUGCCAAAGCAAAUUAUUACCCCUAUGAUAUCGAUUUCAAUGGUGCCCCAACUGGCCGCUUUUCUAACGGCUACACCAUGGUCGAUGAAAUUGGUAACUCUCUUUAUCUAUGCAUUUGAUUUAUAUUUUUAUAAUUUCUUUUCCUUUUCAAAAUCCUGAAGGUACAUGAAAAUUUAUAUACACCAUGAUUGCAUGCAAUGCAGGGUAUUUUAAUUGCUCAUCUGACGAAUUAUUAUGAUUACUUCUUCGCUAGCUAAAAGAAAAAGCAUAAAACAGAUGUCAUUUUUAGAUUUUUCUUCUUUGUAAAUUUGUGUCACACUCUUGAGCAUAGUUAGAAAUAUCUGUGAAGUGAGUUUCAUAGUCAUGGCUUCAAUGACACAAAUCCAAAUUCAUUACAAUUAAUUAAUUGGUUUCCUACUUCUAUCCCUUUUAAAAAAAAUAACAAAAUAAAAGCACUUGUUUAGUUAUCUAUUUGUGGGGGGGGGGGGGGAGGACUAUUGCCAUUUAUUGCUCUGCCCCUACCUCUAUAUGUCUCUUUGGGAGGGCUCACACUGUCCCAUAAUAUUUAUUUCUAAACAAUCACAGUCAUUAUCUUAAAUCAAUAAAAAUAACAGAAUUUUUUCUUUUAUUUUUUACAUUUAUUAUAUCUACACCCACUUAUACCUAACUUGUAUUAAUCUGCAAGUACGAUCUGUUUGGGGAUAAAUUCACCAUAUCUGGUAGGCAUGUCUUAUUAAUGGCUAAAAGCUUCCAUAUGCAUAACCUCUUUAAAUUGUGUCCCCUUUCAAAGAAAAUUUUCUUUAUUGUCCAUUAGCUUUUAUUUACUCUUCACAAAUAUUUUUAAUGUCAUAUUAACCAAAUCUUGUAAAUUCAUCCAUUCGGCUGAACUACUGGGACUUCCUCUGAUUCCUGCAUACUCUGAAGCUUCAUCCCAACAGAAGCUGUGAACAUUAUGUUUGGAAGAAAAGCUUUCUAUGGUGACCAGAGCGUUGUUUAUCCCAUGAAGUUCCAGCAGCUUGCCAGUCUUUAAACUUAGAAAUUAAAGGGACAUAUGUUAUUGUAAUGUUUCUUGCUUGCUUAAUUGCUUUGCAUAAUUGUUGGGAUUAUAUGCUCUUUUAAAGCAUAUUAAUUUAUUUUCUGAUUAAUAAAAUAUUUGAGAUAUUUUCAAUUGCAUAAAUAUUUUGAAUAAGGUCCGUUUAAUCAUAUUAUAUGUAUUUAUGUGAUCAUCAUAUGGAUUCACAGAAGAUAUAAAUACAAGUUAUCUUAUGAUUAAAUAAAUUAAGUUCGCAGUUGAUAAAUAGAGUUGGGCGCUCUAUUUAUGUUUAGACUGUAGUUAAUUAAUUGAAUGAUUUGUCUUAAUCAUAUAUCAAUUUACUGAUGUAGUUUGACUACAUUGAGUUGGAUGACAUAUGAGAUUUAAUUAACCUUGAAAUGACUGUUAGACUUAUUAAAUCUCAUAAGUAUUGAUUUUACUGUAAUCUUAAUCUUGAGUUAGUUAUGAUUUCAUGAUUGUAAUUGUUAAUCCAUUUGAGUUACCAAUGGGCACGACAUACAAUUGUGGUCAAGAUUACCCGGUAUCUUGGUGGGAGCAAUUAUGAGUAUUGGAGUUAUAGAUUAACAAUAUAGAAUUUGUACGACGCAUCUCUUGAUGGGUUUUCGGCACUUGAUCAUAGAAUUCUCUGAUCAGAGUGUGUCAACAUAUUUAGUAUGUUGAAAAUGAUCAUUAGAGAAAACCAGUAAGUAUCAAAGAACAAGAUGUAAUUAAAUUGAUUGGACAAUUGAGAUAUCGAUUUAAUUAACGAUGUGGUACAAAUGAUUGAGCAGUAAAGAAAUCAGUGUGGCUUGGGACGAAUUAUUAUUCGAACAUACAAUUAUGGAGGUCAGUUCCAAUCUUAUAGUGGAGUAGAGUUCGAAUUAAAUGAUUAGGCUUAUUUAAUUACAGGAUUAAUUGUUGUAGCCACUAUUGUAUAUUCCCAAAUGAUCCCUGGGUUAGCUCAUUUAAUUGACUGCAUCGCUACUGGAUUAAUAAGUAAGAUAACUAGCUAUUUAGGUUAAAAGCCUAAAUAUAUUAUUUAGUGGGAGGCUCCAUUAAUAUGCUUGAGUGUAAGGGGCCUUGUGUUAUUUUACAAGGUGGACCCCUAUAACACAAGAACAAGUAACGUGACUUUUGUUUUAAUUAUUUUUAAUUUAAAUCAAAUGGGAUUUAAUAGAAUUAAUAAAUAAAUAAAUAUGGAGCCUAGGGUUUCCACUAAAUAGAGAUAUAAAAAAGCUUAUUUUCUCUAAAGAAAAUAGAUAGAGGCCACAUUAUACAAAUCAGAGAAAAAGAUUUUCUCUCUAAUUUUGAGAGAAAUUUUCUUGUGCUAGUUGCUUUAGUGGUGAUAAAGGCACCCACACAUCAAGUGUAGAUCAAACCUGAGUCAUAGUCUAGAAGAUUAUUUGGUGGCGGAUCAUGAUCUAACAGGAGUAGUGAUGACGGAUCGUGGUAUGGGAGCCUAAAUCACUUUAGUGAAAAAAACAAAGAUUGUUCAUCUUCUCAAAUUUUCAAGGUACGAUUUCUAUAGUACAAAUUCUUAUAUAUUGUAUGAGAUCAAUCCUAAAUUUUUUAAAAAAAAAAAAACUGAUUUUUUCCACAACAAUUAUUAGCCACCGGUGUCUCGUCUGUCCAUGUGAGUUUUUACUUGUUUAAUUUGCUUGUGGGAAGUUUAUGUAAUCAAAGAACAAGUUGUGAUUGUGUUUUGUUGCGUUGAUAGUGGUUCAGUAAUUGGGACUACUUUGAUUAUGUUUUGGUAAUAGAUUUUGCUAGUUUACUAGUGCUUCAGUAGGAUUUUUCUUUUUUUAAAUUAUUAACUUAUGCAUCUAUUGAAAUCUGAACUCAAAACUUAAGCCCCAAAGAAAUUGCUUGUUACCAUUGGAAUUAGACUUGACUUUCGUAGUUUAUUAAUCAACUUGCUUGCUAGGUAGCCUUGCCAUAUGAUAUGGUUUGCUAUCUUAUGGGUGGUGAUGUUUCCCUUGCAAUACCCCUCGCAUCUGUGUAAGGACAUCCAUCUAAUUUUGUUGAUAAUUUUGGAAGUUAAACUUUCUUCCUUAAUUUGAAUGAUUGAAAGAUAAUAUAUAAUUUUAGCCUCGUUGAUUCAAAAAGGGUAGAUUUAAAAGAGAGAUUGAUUCAAAAAGAUUAAAUUAAACGUUCAAAAAAAUUUAUAAAAAACGCAAGAUAUCCGCAAACUGUCUAAAAUACUAUCCUUUAAUCAAUAAUAUUUUAAAUAAGGAGAUUAUGGGUGGACCAAAAAUCCAUGUACCAAAGCCCAAGCAAACGCGCAGAUUUAACAACCAGUUUGGAACAGCUGCGUUACCAAAUUAUUUAUAGGUUUGGGUUCGGUUACAAAAACUCAACCACAAAAAUAAAUUUAUGUUCACUUAAAUUUCUACAAAAAUCUUCUAAAACCCCUUUAUAAUUGUUAACUUUUUGGUUGAGAGAGGCGUAGAUCACUCAACAUGUAUUAGUAGUCAAAAUUAGAAGAGAAACUUUAUCUAGAUUACUACAUUUACCAAAUAAUUGUAAUAAGUGAAUAUGAAAUAGUUCACUCAAAGCAAGGAUAAAUGGAUGAAAGUACUACACAUUUUAUUCACAAUGAGGUUUCCUUUUAUAGGCGUUACAUGAACAAACUUAACGAAAUAAUAGCAGCCAUUAUUCAGCAAAUACUGCAGCUACUUUCCAGUAACUAUAGCCUAAAGACUAGGUAAACACAAUCUUGCAAAUAACAUUACCAACAAACUUCCUAAAGACUAGGACCAUAAAAGCAACUUAUUGACACAAGGAAAUUCCAACAAUCCCUCCCUUAAACUAAAUGUUGUUAACAUUCAGUUUAAACAUUCUGCAGAAUCUUCUUCAAAUUGCAAUUUGCAAACUCCAAGUGACUUUCUCAGCUUCAAAAAACUAGCCAAUUUGAGGGGUUUAGUAAAGAUGUCAGCAACUUGGUCUUCACUCCUGCAAUAAACAAGAUCAAUGACUUCAUUUUUUGUCAAGUCUCGCAAGAAAUGGUAUCUCACAUCUAUGUGCUUGCAUCUUCCAUGUAGAACCGGAUUCUUUGAAAGUUUAAUUGUUGAACUAUUAUCACAGAAGAUAUGUGUUGACUCUAGUUGCUUAAAUUGAAGUUCAUGAAGAAUAUUUCUCAGCCAAAGUGCUUGACAUGCACAAGAAGCUGCUGCAACAAACUCAGCCUCAGUUGUUGACAAAGUAACUAUCGGUUGCUUCUUAGAUGACCAUGAAAUAGCUGCUGAACCAAACAUAAAUACAUAUCCAGAUGUGCUUCUUCUGUCAUCCAAAUCUCCAGCAUAAUCACUGUCUGUAAAGCCAUACAAAUAUGAUUUUUUACCCUUUUUGUAGAACAACCCAAAUUCACACUACUAGAAAAAUGGGCUUUAUUGACACCAAUUUAGUGUCAGUAAUUACUUUUGUUGACACUUGUUAAUUGUGUCAGUAAUGCUCAAGCCAGAACACACUGACACUAAUUUUUGGUGUCAGUGAUUUUUGCGUCAGUAUUUUGAGUCACUAUAGUAUCACCACAAUAGUGAUACUAUGAUGUUAGAAUCAGUUGAUACUAUUUCUAUGUCAGUAUUUUGUGUCACUAGAGAGUCACAAGGAUAGUGACUCAAUCGUGUUAGCAUUUAAUGAUACUAUUUACAUGUCACUGAUUUAUGUGACUACAAUAUCAGGAAUCCACUGACUCAGUAACAUCAAAAAUUCUUAUCGUCAUUUAAAUAAUUAGUGUCAGUAUUAACGAUGCUUUACCGGUUGUGUUUUAUUUUUUUUAAUCACAUUAUUCAUGUUUAUUUUACAAUUAAAAUAAACCCAAAAUAUAUUAAACAUACCAAAUCUUGUAAUGCAAUUCACAUAAUACACCUUGCAAAUACAUCAGUUAAAUUAAAAUAGUUCAAAUACAUCAUUGUUUGGGGGUAAAAAACAAGUUCAAGUACUAAAUUAAGCUUUGAACAAGUAGUAUACAUGAUAAAGUACUAAAUUAAUUUCGGAAAAUUUAGCCAAGAAGAAAAAAUAGAUAACAAUGUCACUGAUUUUGGAGUCCGCAUAUGCCUUCAUUUUUUUUCCACCUACAAGUAUAUAAAAUCAAUUAGCACAACACAAAAAAUGAGUCAUAGAUUUGUUUUAAAGAAAACUAAUCAUAAAUUACUUGUAUGUUACCUCGGGAUUGUAGGCUGUAAUUAACUUGGCAACGUAUGUAGCCCACUGAUCACGAAGUCGCGAGAGGUCCUUGACAGUGUAUUCCUCAACUCCCUUGAACUUUAAUUUUAAAACAACAAGUUAUUCACCGAAAAUCCUUGACUAAACUACUUAAUUAUCAUUCAUUUAAAUAUAUUUGUGUGUUAACAAUUAAAGCCAACAAAUAAACUCCAACAAUGUUACUGUUUUAUCCAAAAUUAUAUAGGUAAAUACUGAACAUCCUGAUCAUGGUAAUUUAAAAAAAAAAAAACAACUUGUGAAUCCCAACAGCAACAAUAUUUGAUAGUCGAAGCAACUUGUGAACCCCAACAGUACGCGAUUUAAUACAAAUAUGGAUGUAGAUACAAAACCUUAAUUAGGAUGACAACUUAUCCUCAUCAAAGUAAAGUACAAGCAACGACACCAUAGCACAUCCCCACUAACAACUACUUUGCAACCCAAACAAUUGUUUUGUGUUGGGAUAUGCAGUACAUUGUGUAUAUCCCAAAUCCUAAUUCAUGUCUAUAUGGAUAUUCAUAUAAUCUAUUCAACAGUAUGCAACAUAGUCACCAUUAUAAGUACCUCACAGUUUAUAAAAUGCAUACAAUACGCAAUAAAAAGAUAACUGUAAAGAAGCACACAAGUGUUUGAGCUGAUUCAUUUAACAAUAAAUUAAAACAAUAUGAUGCAGUAUUGUAAAAAUCAUUUUCAAUACUUACAUUAUUUUUCAGAACGUUCACAUUUGUGAUGAUAUCUUGCAUGUAUUUCAUCACAUAGUAACCACAUUCAAAGCUGCUCGGCUGCCUCAGACACUACAAGAUCAAAAUUACAUUAAUUUUUUACUGUACAUUAACAAUAAUUAGUUAGGUUUGUCUGAUUUUUACCUUGACAGGUAUCCAUUGAACAUUGGCCUUUGUAUCAGAAUUUAAACUCUGAUGUAUUCGAAUCCCCCUACAAUUAAGAGACAUAGCUAACGUUAGCAAAUAAUUAGCAUAAGACAUAAAAAUAAAAUAGCAUGAUCAAAGAUACAAAUAACAAACUUAACUGAUUGACAAUCUGCAUUAGCUCAUCAUCAGGACUACUUACCAAAGGAUCAAGGUAAUAGGUUGUACGUCUCACCAUAUCAAUUGCCAAUAACACCCAGUGGGCACUAAACAAAGUAAAUAUUGUUCUCACACAUGAAUUACAAGUAAAAGUUUUUAACUUCGUGAUUAAUCUACAAAUUAAAGAAUAUAACUAGCAAAUGAAAAAGGUUAUACCCAGGGUUAUACGGGAAUACAAUAACUUGUCCCAAUUCUGCCAAGCCUAACAGUUUUGAAAUGUAUUGAGUCCUGUCUUUAAAGCUGACCCUUGGAUAUAGCUUCUCAAAAAGCCCAAACUGAACUGGUUUAGUACUUCCAUUGCUCUCCAUCUCCUCAUACAGGUGUCUAAGAGGAAACAAAUAUAUAUAACGAAGUAAGUUUGAAUAUAGGAAACAAAAUAAUAGGGCCAAGUUUACUAAAACAUAAGUUAUGAUUUACUGUACUUGAUCCAUAUGUUAAUGAUGCAGUUUGAGACCUCUUUAAACUUGAUGAUUUCAGCAUAAAUCAUUUUGUCCAAGUGUGUUUCCCAAAUUUCACCAAAGGUUGCUGUGUCAUGCCGAAUUCUGAUCAACUGAGGUAAAGAAUUCUCGAUGAACAUGGUAAACAUGUUCAUAUAUUCACUCCUGUCAUUCUUUCUUGAUCGUGCUGCUGCCCGUGUAUUCUUCACGCGUACAUUGAGGUCUUUUACUGCUAGUCUGAUGACUCGGGGUUCUUUUUUGGCUACUUCUGCUGGUCUGAUGACCAGUGGUUCUUUUUUGGGUACUUUUGCUGGUCUGAUGACUGGUGGUUCUUUGUUGGGUACUUUGUCAUGACAGGAGAACUGCCUAUCUAGUACUUUAGGAGUUAGUCUAGGAGAUCUUCUCGGUGUGGGCUUUGAAGUAAUUUCACACUCUACUUUUUUGAGGGUUUGUUGAGGAGUUGCUUGGGAAAUUGUGGUGGGAUUGUCCUUGAUUUUACUCUUCACAGAUUUUGGAGUCGACUUACCCGAUGGGAAAUCAGCCUAUGCAAUAAUCAAAAUACAUACCAUUAGUAGCAAUACAUGCAUAUACAAAUGGAAAUAAAAUAAUGACAUGUAACAGGCCAUAUACCUUUCUUUUUCCAAGAGUUUCGGGGGAUUGUUGAUCAUUGUCAAUCUGAACACCAGUGGAAGUUUUGGGCUUAGGAAAGUUAGAACUUCCAACUUCAGUAUUGCUGUACGCAUUUAACCUUGCAUUCAUGCGUUCUAAUUGAGCAGACAUGAAUUGGAAACUCUCUUGAUACAUCUUUCUUUCUCUUGCUAACUCAGUGGCAUCAGGGACAUGAAAGUACAUAGAUGGGGUGACGAAUUGCCCCACUCCUUGCACCCUGCUUCCAUUUGGCUGCUUCUGAAGAGCUUCACCUAGAAUGUCAUGUGACCCUUGUGAUUGGAAUGUUCCUUGUUCAACCUUACUUUUCAGCUCAUUCUACAAAAAAAAAAAAUUGUAAAUCCGCAAUUACGAGUACAAGACAUUAGCUAAACUAAACUAAUAUCCUUCUUGAAUCUUUAACAAAGAGCAAACCCAUAUACAGUUCAAAUUGAAACUACAGAAAAUAUUACAAGACAACACCUCACACAAGUUUUAACUUUUUUAUAUGCGAAGAAAUAAGUUCUAAUGAAAUCUUACCGAGUUUCUGUCAAUUGUAAAUGUUGCCAUACAAUUAUUACAAAAAGCAGUAUAUAUGUACGUAAAUAUCUACCCCCACACACACAUAUUAUAAAGAAAAUUCAUAAGAAUUAAGUAUACAAGUGACUUACUAUUUUCUCAGCAAUUGGCAUCACAUCAGAAGCAUAUUUGCCAUCUCGGUUUGCUCGUGCCAUUAACCAAGCUUCACUGCGAUCAAUCUCCCGCUCAGAAACUCCACUCUCAUUUUUCUGUUACAAGGUGACAUAAAACAUAAAUAAUUGAUUCUAUUAUAUUAUACGUACUAGAUUACUUAUGUUACUGUAAUUACUCCAUAUUACCACACUUACUUUUCUAUACAACAUGCCACCAUAUCCUGUGCUAACCAAGCGAUAGUUUUAGACAUUCUUUGCUCUUUUGUCUUUUGCCUUCUUACUUUUUUCCUGCACAAAUAGUUUAUAUGAAGAACAAAAAGUUACCACUGAUUAUUAGUAACUACCAACAAUUAAAUCAGGUAAUAUUAACAAACAACACACCUGAAAUUGUUCAGACAAAACUUUGUCAACAAAAAGUUUCCAAUCUUCUUUUUUAAUGCUUGGAUAUUCAAUAGGACGCAACCUUAGUGACUUUCGAUCGUCCUUGUUAGGUAGAACGAAUUCCCCUGAUCUUCAAAGACUCAAGAUCUUUUCUAGCAUUAAUCCCAUCUUUUGUUUUGCCUGGUUGAUGAAGUAAUGUGCCAUAUAUGUUCUCGCACACAUUGUUUUCAAUGUGCAUCACAUCUAAUUGAUGGCGAACUAAUAAAUGCUUCCAAUAAUCUAACUAAAAAAAGAUUGACUUUUUUUUGUACAAUUUUUCAGUUAUGUUCUCAUCACCAUCACCGCCACCACCGCCAUCAUGUUUUCGCUUUUUGGCCUUCUUUUUCCCGAACUUAAUAUCUAUAUCUUCCACCAUAUUAAAGAUUUCCUCACCAAACAAAGUUUUAGGAGGCUCAUUCCACUCUUGCUUCCCAUUAAAAACCUUUUUCAGUUUCCGAAAUAGGUGACCGAGUGGUAGAAAGUGGCGAUGGCCCAUUUAUGACAUUUUCCUACUAUGUGGCAGCCAACAUGCACAAGUGUCUAUCCCACAAAUUGGGCAAGCAUAAUAGCCCUUAACAGUACAACCAGAGAGGUUUUCGUAUGCUGGAAAGUCACUGAUUGUCCACAUCAAGACAACCCAUAAAUUAAAGGUUUCUUUUCUAUAAGAAUCAUAAACAUCAAUACCUACAUCCCAUAGAGUUUUUAAGUCCUCAAUCAAAGGUGCUAGGUAUACAUCUGAUCAUUUCCAGGUUGUUUAGGGCCAGAUAUCAAAAGUGACAACAUCAAAAACUUCCUCUUCAUACACAACCAUGGAGGAAGAUUAUAUGUUAUUAAUAUAACAGGCCAACAACUAUAAGUAGUGCUAAGUGUACUAUGUGGGUUAGCCCUAUCAGUUGAGAGAGCUAAACGGAGAUUUCUAGGUUCUUGUGCAAAUUUUGGCCACUUAUUGUCAAUUAGUUGCCAGGCUGGUGAGUCUGCUGGGUGGCGAAGUUUGCCAUCUCUCAUUCUUUUAUUAGCAUGCCAUGUUAAAUUUUGAGCUGUUUGUGGUGAUUGAAACAAUCAUUUCAACCUAGGAAUAGGUGGAAAAUACCAUAAUACCUUUUUAGGAACCCCUUUCCUAAAUUUUGUUGAGCUAUCUUUUUUUAUUUGAUACCUAGAUGCUCCACAAUUUGGGCAUUCAGCAAGAUCAGCAAAUUCAUUCUUAUACAAAAUGCAGUCAUUUAGACAUGCAUGUAUUUUUUCAUACUCUAAGCCUAGCACUUUCAUUGUUUUCUUAACCUCGUACAUUGACAUAUGUAGAGUAUUAUUUUUUGGCAAAAUAUCAGCAAAGACUUCUAACAAAGCAGAAAACCUUUUAUCGGACCACCCAUAGUUCCCUUUGACAUUGUAAAGUCUCAUUAAACUAGAUAACUUUGAAUGUUUUGCACCCGGGUACAAAGGCUUUUCAGCAUCUUCAAGCAUUUCCUUAAAAGAACUAGGAUCUCUAUCACAAUGCUCAUAAGCAUCUUCGACCAUGUCAAUUAUAUUACUGUAAUCAUGACAUCUAAAUCUUUGACUAUGUGAAUGGUCUUCACAGUUUGUAAAUGUAGAUUUAGAGUCAGUCUCACCAUGCCAAGUCCAAACAAUAUAUCUUGGGAGAAAACCUUUUUCAAAUAAAUGAUCCUUCACCUGUUGAGGAGUAUGAAACUCCAUAUUACAACAAAAGGUGCAAGGACAUCUAAUUGACAUUCGAUUUUCAGCAUUCAAAAUGGCAAAAUCUAAGAAAUCAGCAACUCCAGAACGAUACUCUACAGACAAUCUAUCACAAGUUAUCCAACUUCUCUCCAUUUCAAAUAUUUUACUUGUUCACAUAUGUAAUGUCAGUUUAAGUUUAAUUAAAUUGCAUGAUUAAUUUAAAGUUCAAUGUUAUUAUGAUUAUAGUUGUAAUAAUAAACUUAUAAUUCUGGAAAAUCAUUAAUAGCCUCUAUAAAUCAUUAAUUAUAAUAAUAAUUUAGACAAAAUCCUGAAAUUGAAACAAAAGAAGUUUUGAAACUUAAAUAGGAGAUUAAUAGGUAAGAUGGGUGCUAAUGGCUUUUUAAGUAGUCGAACUAAUUCAUAAGUCAAGUAACUAACAAAAGUUAAGAGUUCAAAUAAAUAAUGUCUUCAUACCACUUUGCAAGCCAUUUUUUAAGAUUCUAUAAAUCAUUUUUUAACUUCAAAUACAACAUGCAGAACUACUUUAAAACAAACAUUUCUUUAUUGAAUCAAACACAAAUCAUCAACUUUAUAUAAUCUCAAAAUACUCACAACCACGAACUUAAUUAAUUCAUAUCAUAGUCAUUGUCUCUAUUACAAAUCGUCCAACCAAAACAGAAUAAAUAAACAAGUAGGAUUAUAUAACAAAAUUUACCUCUCUUUACAUGAAACAGAGAUGUAAAUAGUUUGUAACCACUAAAUACACAGUCAUUCAGCCAAUAUAACACCCAAACAAUCAUCUCCUAAUCACAAAGGCAAAAGCUAAAAUGAAAUUUCAUAUUUUAGUACAUUCAAAAUCAACUAACUUAUUGCUCAAAGUUAAGAAACGGAGCUAAUAGUUUAUUUCAGAAACUAAAAAAAAUGCACAUUCUUAGUUUUAAAUAACAAUGACAGUAAAUCACAUGCACAAAAGUUUGAAACUGACCUCAAAUGUGGCAGAAAAAACAGAGUCGCAGUAGCAAGUGUUUUGAGUUUAAGUAAUGCACCACUUAAAAUGCCUGUAUUUUUGGACUGCAUGUGAGUGAAGAUAUAGAAAAAUAAGAACAAAAAUUUCAAGUUACAAAUAAAUAAAAGAAAAAAAAAGAUUUGGAAAACAAAACCCACCAGGGUUGCACUACUGGUCAAUUUCUGAAUAUUUGAAACAACCCCAAAAUAAAAAUUCAAAAAUAUUAUUCAUAAGCCAAAUUAAAACAAACCCAAUAAUUAAAUUGCCUAAAAAAAUAAAAUAUUCUGCCAUUACCAGCUGAUAACCUCCUCUACAGUUCUUUCUCUGGACUUAACUUGUCAGGGAGAAUGAGAUUACCUGAAUACCGAACCGAUGGUGCCACUUCACCCCUUAUCGAUGGCUUUUACUUGCUUGCCUAGUAUAGGCACUGAAUGAUUUAGUUGGAGAAAAACCCCUUCAAUAACAAGUGAUUAGGGUUUUGGUUUGUGUUUCAAUUUGGGGGAAAUGGAAAAACGAAAUAGAGUUUUAGCUUUUCAUUAUCUAUCUAAAUUAAUUGAAUUUAAUUUGUAAAUGGAUAGUGCAAAACAGAAGAGAUCGAGAAGAGAAAAAUGAAAGCGAAAGUGAACGAUGAAAGCAAGAUAGAGACAGUCGAUAUAGUCUAGAUGGGGAAAAGUCAAGUGUGUUUUAUGUUGUUGUUAUUUAUAUUUUCAUUUUUUAAUAAUUUAAAUAUUAUUAUGACUUUGACUCAUCGAGAUUUGAUGGUCUGUGCUCCAAACAUUAAAGCUUUAAAUCUUAGAGCUCUUAGGUUCGAGUUGGAGCUAAAACAAAAAUUUUAUGAAUUUUUUUUAUCAUUGAUACUUUAGUGUUAGUGAUUUUUGAUAUUUAGUUUACUGACACCCUAGCAUCCUUAAUCUCUGAUUCCUAUUUGUCAAAAGCGGAAAAUGGUGCAUAUGUACAUAAGUACUGACACUUUUUGCAAAGUGUCAGUAAAGCCCAUUUUUCUAGUAGUGUCAGCAAUACCACGCAAGUAUCGAAGAAUUCUCUUUGCAGCUAAAAGAUGAUCCUCUCUUGGACACUCCAUAUAUCUGCUAAUGGAACUAACUGCGUGCAUUAUAUCAGGUCGAGUUGUCGUUAAGUACAUCAAGCUUCCAACAAUCUGUUUGUAAAGGGUUGAUCACUUGACUCCUAUUGUCCUCUGCCCCAUUGGAAGUUCAGUCAACUCCCAAGUAUUAUUUUUUUCAAUGGAUGCAAUUUCUUCGUCCAUGGCUUUUAGCCAUUUUUGUUCUUUGACAGCUUCUUUAAAAGUUGUAGGUGUUGGAGAAUUAACAAAUAAAACACAGUAUUUUAUUUCUUCAACAACACUCCUCACCAAUUACAACUCUUAUUUUUCACUCUCUACACCUUAGAGAUUUUACUACUUCACUUUACGUUUAAACCAAAAGGGAGAGAGGGUAUUUAUACAUGAAACAAACUAAUCACAACCAUUCAUUUAUUCAACUAAUAAACAAAUCCUCACCAUCCAUUAAAACCUAUCACUCACCUACUUCACCAACCAUAGCUAACACACCUAACACAAAUAAUUCAAACCUCACCAACCAUACCUACUCAUGGAACCUUCCAUGAGUUGGGCUUGAUUUAUUCAUCUUGGAUCAAGUUUAUGAUCCAACACCUCCCCUUAAACUUGAUCCUGUGACACCAAGCAAACUUCUGAAUCUUACAAAGUCUUCUUGCUUGAGUGGCUUAGUGAAGAUAUCAGCUGCUUGAUCUUGUGAUUUUACAUACUUGAUUUGCACUUCUUUUCUUGCAAUACACUCUCUUGUGAAAUGAUAGCAAGUGUCUGUGUGUUUACUUCGAUCAUGAAAGACUGGAUUCUUGGAUAGGGCAAUUGCUGAUUUGUUAUCAACACAAAUCUCGGUUGGCUCUUCUUGUGCCAAACUCAACUCCUUCAGCAAAUUUCUGAGCCAAAUUGCAUGACAAACACUUGAUGUGGCAGCUACAUAUUCAGUUUUACAGGUGGAUAGCGUGACAAUUGGUUGCUUCUUUGACAUCUAUGUGAAAGCAUUAUCUCUUAUGAAGAACACAAAUCCAGUUGUGCUCUUUCGAUCAUCUACAUCUCCACCCCAAUCGCUAUCGCUAUAUCCAAUAAGCUUGUAGUCAUUAGAAAAUGAGUAUAACAAGACGAAAUUAAUUGUACCUUUGAUGUAGCGAAGGAUUCUUUUUGCAGCUUUAAAAUGGGUGGUCUUUAGAUUCUCCAUGUAUCGGCUCACAAGUCCAACAGCAUAAAGGAUAUCUAGUCUUGUGCAUGUCAAAUAACGUAGGCUUCCAACCAAACUUUUAAAGAAUGUUGGAUCUAUAUCUUCGCCUUCAUCAUAUUUGGAUAACUUGACACCGCAUUCCACUGGCGUGCUUAUAGGCUUGCAAUCAUUCAUCUUGAACCUUUUGAGAAUCUCCUUUGCAUAGCUUUCUUGGGAGAUAAAUAUGCCUUCUUCCUUUUGCUUGACUCUGAUGUCAGUCAUCUUGAACUCUUUGAUCAUCACUCUCUUGAACUCUUUAAUCAUCACUCUCUUGAACUCUUCAAUCAUCACUCUCUUGAACUCUUCAAACAAGCUUGAAUUACUUCUAGUAAAGAUGAGAUCAUCCACAUACAGGCACACAAUCAAAAUAUCUCUAUAUUUUUCUUUGACGUAGAGUUUCUCUUGAAAAUACUUGUCAAUUAUGCUAUUCCAUGCCCUUGGUGCUUGUUUAAUCCGUAAAGUGCUUUCUUCAAUCUCAAAACUUUAUCUUCAUGUCCUUUCACCACAUAGUCUAAUGGUUGUUCGAUGUAAACUUCUUCUUCAAUGAAUCCAUUCAAGAAAGCAGACUUCACAUCCAUUUGAAAAAUCUUCCAUUUAUUCUGAGUAGCCAAAGAAAUAAUAAGUCUAAUAGUUUCAAGUCGAGGUACAGGAGCAAAUACCUCGUCAUAGUCUAUGCUAGCCUUUUGCAACUAGCCUCGCAUUGUGCCUUUCAAUUUCUCCUUUUGCAUUUCUUUUUGUUUUAUACACCCAUUUGACACCGAUCGCCUUGUGACCUUUUGGAAGAAUAGUAAGCUCCCAAGUAUCAUUCUUCACAAUGGCUUUGAUUUCUUCAUCCAUUACAAUUCUCCACUUCUCAUCUAGUGCAGCUUCUUGGAAGUUGACUGGCUCACAAUCAGCAAAGAGGCAAAAGAGAGUGAGAUUAUCAUGUCUCUCAGUUACCUUAUAGAGAUCUUGAAGACUCAUUGUACGUUCUUCGGUUCUUUCAUUUAAGAAAGACGGCGGUGAAUCUCCACAUGUGAUUGAUACUGGUGAGAUAGGUGAAGUAGCAGGCUCUUGUUGUUCGUCUACUUGUUUUAUCUGUGUAUGAUCAUCUUCUUCAAUGGGAAAGAAGUUGAAGUCAUCCACACCAGAGCCAAAAUCCUAUUCUCCUUCUUCAUCAAAAACUACAUCUCGACUGAUCACGAUCUUCCCGUUGUUUGGAUUGUAAAGCUUGUAUCCUUUGGAGUUGUUGUCGUAGCCGAUGAAGAUGAACUUCUCACUUUUGUCAUCCACCUUGGCUCUACUUUCGUCUGGUACAUGUACAUGGGUAAUGCUUCCGAAAACUCUUAGAUGGGUGAUGCCGGGUUUUCUUCCACUCCAAGCUUCUUGUGGCGUCUUGCCCCACACGCUUUUUGUUGGAGAUCGAUUGGAUAAGUAGACUGCACAUGCAACAACUUCAGCCCAAAAUUCUUUAGGUAGUCUCUUACUCUUAAGCAUGCUUCUUGCCAUGUCGAGGAUGGUUAUGUUCUUCCUUUCUGCAACACUAUUUUGUUGGGGGGAUCUUGGAACUGUCAAAGGGCGUCGAAUUCCAUUUGCUUCACAAAACUCUAAAAAAUCUUUGGAAAUGAACUCUCCACCUCGAUCAGAUCUCAUGGCUUUAAUCUGGUAUCCACUUUCUUUUUCAAUUGCAGCUUUAAACUUCUUGAAAGCUUCAAAGACUUCUGAUUUUUGCUUUAAAAAAUGCACCCAAGUUUUUUCUUGAAAAAUCAUCUAUGAAGAGAAGGAAGUAGUUACUUUUACCAAAGGAGUUUUGCUUGAAUAGACCGCACACAUCAGUAUGAAUGAGCUCGAGUGGCUUCUGAGCUCUUGAGUUUGACUAUUUUGGAAAGCUCUUUCUAAAUUGCUUGCCAAGUAAACAUCCUUCACAAAGUUGAUCAAGGUGAUUGAUGUAUGGUAAGCCUUUCACCAUGUUCUUCUUAGAUAGUAGCUCCAGUCCUCCAAAGUUGAGAUGCCCAUAUCGAAGAUGCCAAGUCCAGGAUUGAUCUUUGUGACAGGCUUUGAGACAUUUUGCAACAUCAUUUUGAAUAUUUAAAGGAAACAUUCUAUUCUUUGACAUUCUCACCUUUGUAAUUAGAUUUCCUUUGUCAUCUCUUAGAAAAGACUAUAAUCUUUUAAGUGAAUAUCAUAGCCUUUUUCUAAAAGUUGACCUAAACUAAGAGUGUUGCUUUGUAUAUUGGGCACAUAGUAAACAUUCGAAAUUAUUUGGUGGCUACCAUCUUUUGCACGAAAAAGAAUGUUACCUCUACCAUUCAUUGGUACUUUUGAAUCAUCUCCAAAAGCGACACUGCCAUUCACAGAUUCACUUAGUUGUAUGAACAUGCUUCUGUUUCCACUCAUAUGAUUGCUAUCACCUAUGUUAAGAUACCAUGUAUUUUCUUGACCUCCACUUGUGUCAUUGCGUGCUAGUAAAAGUGUGCCAUCUUCACCAUUUUUCUCUUCAGCAUAGUUCACUCUCUCAUCAAUUCUGGUGCUUGGAGCUCUGCAUUCUGAAGCAUAAUGCCCAAACUUUUGACAAUUAUAGCACUGUACCUGGGAUUUGUCAUACCUCGAUCUUGGAUUGCCUCUGCCUCGUCCUCUGGUUGAGCUUUCUCCUUUGGCAUAAUUGGAGUUGUUGUUAAAAUUCCAACCUCAUCCAUGACCACGACCUCUACCUCGUCCUCGACCUCUACCUUGGACAUAGUGCCUUCUCUCAUUGUCGGAGCUUUCUUCUCUUUUCUUUGGAUUGACUUCCAUCUUGAGAAGUUGUUCUUCGAUUCCUUACUUCUUUUUUUAUUUUUCUUCAUAGGCUUGCAACCUUCCUUGAAGUUGCUCGAUCGUCAUAUCCUCUAGAUCUCUUGUUUCUUCAAUUGUCACAACAAUAUGGUUAAACUUCGAGUCUACUGAUCGAAGUAUCUUUUCAAUGAUCCUUACCUCUUUUAACUCCUCGCCAUUUCUUUUUAAUUCAUUGGAAAUGGUCACAACUCGAGUAAAGUAGUCAGAAAUUGACUCUGAUGCUUUCAUGUGUAAGGACUCAAAUUCUCCUCGUAAUGUCUGGAGACGAACCUUCUUAACUUGCUCCGCUCCUUUGUAAGAGGUCUCUAGUUUCUCCCAUGCUUCUUUUGAGGAGGUUGUACCAACAAUCUUUUCAAAAGCAUUUUCAUCUAAUGAUUGAAAGAUGAGAUACUUUGCUUUAUUCUCUUUCUUCUUCAAGUCUUUUAAAUUCUCCUUCUACGCCGCAGUUAAAGUGACUUUAUUUUCUGGCACAAUAAAGCCUUUCUCCACGACAUCCCAUCCGUCAUGUACGCUCAAUAGAGCCUUCAUUUUAAUACUCCAAUUGUUAAACUUCCCUUUAAUUGUGGAACUUGAAAUGACAUCAUACCACUGUUUGCCAUAACUCACAAAUUGAGUGAGAAUUUAGAGAUUCUGAAAGCACAGAUGGAUCCGGCAUGUUGAAAAACCUUGGGAAGGACUCGAGUCAAUUUUCGGUCAACGGUCAAAGCUGGUCAACGUCGGUCAACGGUCAACACUGGCUUGAUAGUCUUGGUUCGGUUCGGAUUGGUUCAGUUCGAGUUGGCUCGGUUCGACUUGAUUCAGUUCAGCUCGGCUCGGCUUGGUUCAGUUCGGCUCAGCUUGGUUCAACUCGGUGAGUCGACUCAACUUCAGGACAGAAAACUUCCGGCGGCAAGUGUGGGCGCGUCCGGUCUCGGAUCGGGAUGAUUUUUGCGGCGUCACGUUCCUCUUGUCGAGAUCUUCGAUUUGAUAUGCUAUAUGACCAUAUAUAGCAUCCAGUACUAGCUCUGAUACCACUUUGUUGGAGAAUUAACAAAUAAAACACACAAAAAACACAAUAUUUUAUUUCUUCAACAACACUACUCACCAAUUACAACUCUUAUUUUUCACUCUCUACACCUUAGAGAUUUUGCUACUUCACUUUACGUUUAAACCAAAGGGGAGAGAGGGUAUUUAUACAUGAAACAAACUAAUCACAACCAUUCAUUUAUUCAACUAAUAAACAAAUCCUCACCAUACAUUAAAACCUACCACUGACUUACUUCACCAACCACACCUAACACAAAUAAUUCAAACCUCACCAACCAUACCUACUCAUGGAACCUUCCAUGAGUUGGGCUUGAUUUAUUCAUCUUGGAUCAAGUUUUUGAUCCAACAGUAGGAUCACAUUCUGAAAACAAGGCAAAGUGUAUGAGUGGAUUCUCAAGAGUGUUAAAUCAUGUUACCUCAUAAUCUGACAUCCAUGCAGACCUUCUUCUAUCACGUUGAGAACGUAAAUCUGUAGCUUCAACUUGUUCAUCAAGUUCAUUUGUUGUUGGUGGAGUUUCUGCUGAGACUCUAUUUUGCGGCAGGUCAGGAGCAGAGACUGUUGAAGGCUGAAGUUGCUGAUUUUCUUCAAUUUCACCAUCGAAAUCUGCUGGAAUUUGCUACCCAACAGAACUGCAUCUCCACAUCCAUGUCUUCUCUUCAUAAAAAAUGACAUCACGACUAAUGACAAUUUUCUUGAUGAUGGGAUCAUAUAAUUUGUAGGCCUUUGAAUGAUCACUAACACCAAGAAAAAUGCACUUUACACCUUUGUCAUCUAAUUUUCUUCUUUUCUCAUCUGGUACGUGGACAUAUGCUAUACAUCCAAAUACCCGAAAAUGAUCUACUGCCGGCUUACAUCCACUCCAUGCUUCUUCAGGAGUUAUAUUUUGAACAACUAUUGUAGGGCUUCUGUUCAAAAUAUAAACACUCCAAACAACUGCUUCAGGCCAAAAACUUUUGGGAAGACCACUCCUCUGCAGAAGGCUUCGUACCAUAUUAAGAAUUGUACGAUUUUCCUUUCGCAUACACCAUUUUGCUGAGGUGUGUAGGCUGUUCUCAAUUGUCUUCUAAUUCCAUGAUUUUCACAAAAGCUUCUAAAUUCUUGAGAGUUGAACUCUCCACCACGAUCAGUAUGCAAUAUUUUAAUUUAGCUGUCAGCUUCUCUUUCAACUAGUACUUUAAACAUUUGAAAGGCUGUGAAAGCUUCUGAUUUUUCUUGCAAGAAAUAAACCCAAGUUUUUCGACUAAAAUCAUCAAUAAAUGAGAUAAAAUAUCGUUUACCUCCAUUUGAUGUUGGCUUGAUUGGCCCACAUAAGUCAGAAUGCACUAGCUCCAGCACUUUCUUUGCCCUUCGGGAUUUUCUUUUUGGAAAAUUAUCUCGAUGUUGCUUACUGACAAUACACUCUUCGCAAAGCUACGAAGGUUGCUCAAAUUGUAGAAGGCCUACCACCAUAUUUUUUGCUGCAGCGGAAGUUUAAUGUUCAAAAUAUUCCAUUGAUUCUAGAGAAUACCGGAAUAAAAGAACAACUAAAUUCACGUUGAUUCAAAAGAAUACCGCGAACUUAGGGGUUAAGACUCGUUGAUCCCACAGAAUACCGAGAAUUAGUUGUUCAAAUACUCACAAAGAGAUUUGAAAAUUGAAAUAUUAUUGAACUCAAAAUUCUCUGCUUGUAAAAGCUACAAAAGACACUUAUUUAUACUAAGUAAGACUUAUCCUAAUAUGAUUAGAAAACCUAUUUUAAUAAGACUUAUGCGUAAAUUAAGAAUAUUACCCAAAUAAGCAAUACCUAAACAAUAAGACUCUAAAUAGGAAACCAAAUUAAACUAGAAUACAAAUUAAUUAAAAUAUUCCUAAAUAUUAUACAUUUAAAUAUAAUUAGGAUUUCUUCAAUUUCUUGCUCUGCAUCAUUUUUCUACUGCAAGGUCUUCAAUCUACCACAACUAAGAUGCCCAUAACGAAAGUGCCAUAACCAUGCUGUAUCUUUGAAAUUUGCAGCAAAACAUGAGUGUGCAGUAUGGUGAAGAUACAAAGGAAACAUUCUGUUUGCCGUCAUUUUCACUUGAGCAAUUAAGCCCAAUUUUUCAUCGUGGAUUCGGCAAACUCCUUCCUUGAUAGAGAUCUCAUACCCCUUUUCUUGUAACUGGCCAACACUGAGAAUGUUAGUUUUCAGUUCAGGAACGAAUAAAACAUUUGAGAUAGAAUGAGAACUUUCCUUGGUUUGGAUUGCAACCCUUCCUUUCCCCAUGACAGAAACUGUGGAGUCAUCACCAAAUUUUACAGUAUUUCGAAAAGUAUCAUCCAAGUCAAAAAAAGCAAAUUUAUCCCCACACAUAUGAUUGCUGCAACCGGUGUCUAAGUACCAUAGAUUUUGGUGACUUUCCUCCUUUCUAUGACAUGCCAUAAGAAGGGAAAUUUCUUCUUCCUCCUUUUCUGCAAAGUUAGAUUUCUCGCCACGAUUCUUAUUUAAAUUAGUACAGCACUCAGAGCGGUAAUGACCGUACUUCUGACAACGGAAGCAUUUAACAUUCGAUUUGGCUUUAGACUUUGGUUUAUGUCCUGUCGAAUUCUGACCAUCAUAAUCCUUUCCUUUUCCUUGAGAAUCAUCAACAUUUUCUUCUGAUUUGUUCUGCCCAUUCUUGCCUUUCCAGCCUCUUUUACCCCCUUCAGUUGGUUUGAGAUUUGUUGCUGCCUGUAAUGCAUGUUCUUCCUUAUCCUGUCGGAUUACUUUCUGCUCAUGGACUAGCAAAGUGCUUUCCAAUUCAUCAAUCGAAAGUGUGUCAAUAUCCCUUGAUUCCUCAAUCGCACAAACAAUAUAGUUAAAUUUUGCCAUUAAAGAUCGAAGAAUCUUCUCAAUUAUGAUAACAUCCUCGAGCUGUUCGCCAUGAAUUCAUCUCUUAUUUGCGAUUGCCAUUGUCCUUGCAAAGUAUGCUGAGACCGACUCUCCCAUCUUCAUUCGUAAAGAUUCAAAUUCAGCUCGAAGUGUCUGGAGGUGUACCCGCUUCGCCCUUGCUGUCCCUUGGUACUUCUUUUUCAAGGAAUCCCAAAUUUGUUUAGAGGAGUCUUUGUUAAGAAUUGUUUCCAAGAUUGAUCGAUCAAUAGCUUGGAAUAAGUAAUUCUUUGCCUUGAGAUCCUUUAAUCGUUGCCCUUCAAGCUCUAUUUACUAAGCAUCCGUCAAAACAACACCGGCUGGUGGUUCAGUUAUUCUAAUUGAAACAACCUGCCAAUAUUCCUUGGACCUUAAGAAAUUCCCCAUCAACAUGCUCCAAUGGUCAUAGUGACCAUCAAAGUGGGGAAUUACAGGUUGAACAAAAUUCUCAGAAGCCAUGAAUUUCUGCUGCUGCAACACGAGUGCAAAAAGAGCCAAGUAAGCUGCUGUUACUAACUCUGUCAAUCCACUUUUCUAAUUCAAGCUCUGAUACCACUGUUACAAGUGAAUAUGAAAUAGUUCACUCAAAGCAAGGAUAAAUGGAUGAAAGUACUACACAUUUUAUUCACAAUGAGGUUGCCUUUUAUAGGCGUUACAUGAACAAACUUAACGAAAUAAUAGCAGCCAUUAUUCAGCAAAUACUGCAGCUACUUUCCAGUAACUAUAGCCUAAAGACUAGGUAAACACAAUCUUGCAAAUAACAUUACCAACAAACUUCCUAAAGACUAGGACCAUAAAAGCAACUUAUUGCCACAAGGAAAUUCCAACAAUAAUAUUAUAAAAUGUAAAAGUUUUAAUGGGGUGUACCCCAUCACUAUCUCAGGAAUGGUGAUUUUGAUCCCUUACUAUAUCUCACAAGCGCCCCAUUUUUCAGUUAAUUCCAUUAAAAAUUUUAAACAAAUCUUUGUCUCUCAAUAUACCUUACCUAAUCUCUAAUUUACCUUUAUUUUAAUUUUUUUUCAUACACCCAUUGUAUAAAUUUUAUAAAAUCAUUUCUUUAAAAAAAAAAUCUCAUAAUGAUUGUAAUUUCUCAACUUUGUUUUAAGGUUUUAUCCACCACUUAAGAUUUGAUAGUUCCACCAAGAAUUGGAGGAAAGAACCAUGCCGAGUCGGCCCUGAAUAACCUUAGUAUCGUGCUAAGCCUAUCAAGCCAAAGUUGAGUGAAGGAAUACAAGAAUUUGGCCAAGGGGUUUGACGUGAUAAAGAUACAGAUUUUUUAUUAUUAUAAUUGAUUUGGAGCUAAAAAGGGGAUUCUUGAUUUCCUUUUCUAUGCAUCCCAAUCUUGUAUUCAAGUUUAUCUGUUCAUGGACCAGAAUGCAUUGCAUUUGGAAAGUGUUUGCAAUUGUACAGUGAUAUUACUUGGACAGUAAUUUGGCGUUGCAAUGCAUUUACAGAACGAAUGAAAAUUUGGAAUCGCGAUGGAAAAUGCUGUCAGGUAUCUAUCUGAGAAUGAAAGCACUCGCUUUCAGUCUCUAUGGGAUUGCAGUAUAAAAUUUUACAUUGUUCUUCAAUAUUUUGAAUAGAAUACCUUACUUUGAAUGGAAUGGCUCAGUUUAAAAAGUUAGAAGAAAUUAGAGUUUAAGAAAUUAGAUUCACUUAAUUAGUUAUUAAUAGAAAUUUUUAUGUCGGUGCACUUAAAAAUUAUUUAUUAUUUUAAGUUAUUUCACAUGAGGAUAAAAUAGGUAUUAACAUAAAAGUUAUUAGUAUGGGUAGAUAACAUAUAAUGAGAGAUUUAAACAUCACCACUCUACUCAUAGAGCAGCUUCAAAAACGAUCUCAUUGGUCCAAAAAGGCCUGACCCAUUGAACGAUGACCCUUAAAAUUUUAUCCUAGCUUGAUCCAUACGACAGGCUGAACAGGUCGGUCCUUUACACAAUCAAAACAAACUUGUGAGUAGGGGUGGGCAAAUAACCCAAUCUGAUUCGACCAAAAAACUUGAGUUCAGAUUGGAUGUAGAUGAAUUUCUCAAUCCAAUCAGGUAGGAAUCUAUCCAAAUCGAUCCAAAUUACACACAAUUAAAGAAUAUUAUUUGAAUUUUUUUAUCCAUUCCAAAUAUAAUUCGGAUUCAAUUAUAAGUCUGGAUUGAGUUUGGAUUACUUUUUUCCUAACUCGAUUAACCGGAACUUGAACCCAAUCCGAAACGGAAUUUGCCGACCCCUACUUCUUAUCAUUUAUACAUUACAUUUGUGACUAUCAUUUUUAAACUAAAAUUUUCUCUUGAUGCGAAUAAGAAAAAAAAACAUAGAGUAAAUUUCGUUAAAAAAAAUGAGGCACCAUAGAUGGACCGUACAUAUGGUACAACUAGCUGAAAUGUAAGUAGCCUUGUGAGAGCUGCCUACUUUGGAUUCAGGACGAAAUAUUUAAGAAGCAAGCAAGUAAAUAGAUCAGGAAAAUAAUAUUCGGCCACCCUCAUUCCAGAGGGAAGCCAAAAACGACAUGCUUCUGUGCCGUUUUGAGGUUUUAGAUUUGAAAAUUAAAAAUAAAUUUUACCAUUAAAAAAUAAUAAAAGCUAAUCAAAAGAAAUUAAAAAAUCUAAAUUCUUAUCCCUCCCCUUGCUCACCCCCUCUCUCUUUGACUCACCCGCUCUGUCCCUCUCACUCUCACCCACGAAGCUCGUUCCCCUCUCACUCACCCACAAGCUCGCUGUCAAUAUUUUUUUCGGAUCUCAACUAACGCAUCAUCAAAACCGCAACCAUGACGCUAGGCUGAGGAGGAUCCAGUGUCGUGGGUCAGUUUCUUCUCUAAUCUUGCCCUUUUUUGUUCAAUCUAUUUAUGCCCUGGAUUGAUUUAUUCUCUUUGUUUUAUUGUGUUUCUUGUUCUAGCAAAAUCUAUUUGUCUAAUUCACAUACGGGUCGCAGUCGUUGCUUUUAUUAUUUUAUAAUUUUUUUUAGGUGGUUUUGUGUAGUCUUAUGAACAUUCUUUUUGGCAAAAAUGCAUCUGGGUUGCUACGCGCCUACGUUUGAUUGUUAAUUAGACCUGAUUCGUAAUUCUAUGCGUUUUUUGAAUUUUUGAUCGCGAAAUUAAGUUAAUUUAGUUUAAUAUUAUUAGAUUAUUGUCACCUAAAAUUAGUAUAUUUAAUCAGUUAAAGAAAUUCUUUUGACACGGACUUUAUGAAACCUUGUAUGUGAUACUUUGCUUAGCAAAGUAUUUGGAUUUUGGAUUUUUUUUUCUAUUUAUAUUUUAAAAUUACUAGAAAUAAGUUAUUUGAAGUGUGAUACUUUGUGAAAUGUUGAAGCUUACGGUUUGGUUGUAAUUCUGUUUUUGCUUAUAUAUGUUUACGUCUGUUGGCAUUCUUUUUUUUUUUUUUUUUGGUAUUUGAAGUUUGCAUAUAUGGUGUGUAUUAAGAUUUUCAAGUUGUUCUUGAAACAUAUUCUGGGUAGUUUGAUAUAUCACAUGUUUCUAUGAAUUCUUUAGUUGAGGCAAUUGUUUUUGGUCUUAUCUGCAUUAUUAAGUUCUUUACCACAUAGAAUUCCCUAAUUUUCUUCUGCUAAUCCAGUAAUUGCAGCUUCAUUCUAAGGUUCUUCAUUUUCUAUAAAGCAUAUAUUGCUUCAUUGACACCCCUCUAAAUAACUCUUAAAAUCUCUUUAAUUAUUUUAUAAUUUUAAUUUUUAUUAAAAUUAUAUAAUAGGAUAAUUUUUAAUUAAACUUCCACUCAAAAGUUAAAUAAUUUUUUUAUUUUAGAAAUUAAAAAUGUUGUUUUUUCUCUAAUUUUUGGGUGAAGAAGUUACCACCAAUGCCUACAAUAGAGAGAAUGAAAACUCAUUGUUUCUUUCUUUUAAAUAGAAGAGACUCAAUUGUUGAAAUGAGAUUUAAUAAUAAAAAGUAUAGAAUUGAAUUUACACAAUAACUUUUAUGUAAGGGUAUUUUUAUCAUUGAUGAAGGUGUUAAAAGAAUUUUAUAAUUUUUUAAAAUAUUUUAAUAAGAUUAAUUAUGAAAAAGAGUGUUAAGAAAUAUUUAGAGGGGUACCAAUAGUCCCACUCUAUUUAUUGACCAAUUUAAUAAUUAUUAUCUUUUCAAGGAUUUAAAAAUCUAUAGGUGUAACGGACAGCUAAUGUAAUGUAAGCGUUAUAUAUAUGAGUUGAUGAAAGGGUCACGGGUGAAAUCAAAAUAAAAAAAAUAACAGAAGUCAAUAAUGGCAUUCAAAAUUAAAAAAUAAUAGAAGUCAAUAAUGAAGAAUUUGGGUUAAAUCAUAUAUAUAUGUUAAAUCAAACAGCCACUGGUGUGCGGUUACUUUAUACAAUUUGGGUUCUUGCCUUUCUGCCGUCAUGGGGAAUUAAUGCCACUGGUCAACGGUGAAUCAAUGGCCAUCGGGCACCAAAUUCAUGACCAAUCAAUGGCCAACAAGCACCAAAUUAAUGCCAAGCACACCAACAACCACCGAUUAAAUGGCAAGUUUAGUGUUUUAAAGUUUAGAAUAUGGAGACGCACUUGCUACUGUAUCGAGGUAUUAAAUCAUCAAAAACCAAUUUGGUUUGGAGUCUUCAAUUCCAAUUUGACUCCUACACCAACGCUAGCCAACAACAACUCAACAACCGAAUCACUCGUCCUAAUAGCAUAAUAAUCCAGUCGUCGCUUGCCUGCACGUGAGAGACCAUUUUCUUGUUCGUGCUCGGAAUUGUUGAAUUAAUUUUACAAUGCUCUUGUACCAAUUUUCAUCAUAUAUGCUGCCUCAAGAAGUGAAGAUCGAUGUCGGAAUCACUUUUAGUUUCAAUUACAUGAUGUUUGGGAUCGUCUUAUAAUAUACCAAUUUCAGUCUACAGUUGCCUCAAGUAUCCAUGUCUGUCAAAUCUCAUUUGUAUUAAAGCAACCGCCUAAACCGUUAACCUGUUUGAUUUAAUAUAUAUAUAUAUAUUUGCAGCUGUUAGAUUGAACAAUAAACCAUCCAACGGCUCUGCUAAAUAGAGACAAAAAAGUGCAGUAUGGUGCAACUGUUGUAACAUAGGUGGAGCCUAUUUUUAAUAUUAUAUUAAUGAUUAUUAAAUUUUAUACAAUCAAUAAUGCAAUAAGUUAUUAAAUGAUUAAUUUAUACGUUAUUAAAUGAUUAAUUAUAAAUGAUUAAAUAUACAAGUAAUGAAAAUUUAAUCUCAAGAGUUAUUAGAAGUAAAACUGCCAAUUUAAUUAGAUCAUAGAUAAGAAAUAAAAAAUCUUAAGUAAAUCAUAAAUAAAAAUUAAUUAAUUAAUUAAUAUUAACAGAUAAUUUUUCUUUAAUCUUAUCCUAACUAAACGCAUGUGUAAAUUACAAUUACUAAUCCGAUGAUUUGAAAAUUAAAUUCAAAUUUAGUCUCCUUUAAUCCAAUUCAAGUAAAUUUAUCAAAAAUAAAAUAAAUAUUUAAUCUUAAUAUUAAUCCAAUUGGAUAUUUAAUCCUGACAUCCAAACAAGGCCUUAUUUGCCUUAAAAGGCAAUUUACAAAGAGGUGUAACCGAAAACGUUUAUAAAGCCAUAUUUUUUUUGGGUUCCUAUAUAUAUAUAUAAUCUUUCUGCCAAUGAAGCGCCCGCCAUACAUAUAAAUCUUAAGUAAAUCAUAAAUAAAAAUUAAUUGAUUAAUUAAUAUUAACAGAUAAUUUUUCUUUAAUUUUAUCCAUCUAAACAAAUAUGUAAAUUAGGAUUACUAAUCCGAUGAUUUUAGGAUUAAAUUCAAAUUUAGUCUCCUUUAACUCCAUUCACAUAAAUUUAUUAAAUAUAAAAUAAAUAUUUAAUUUUAGAAUUAGUGCAAUUCGAUACGUAAUCCUACAUCCAAGCAUGGUCUCAGUUGUCAUAAAGGCAACUUAGAAAGAGUUGUAACCGAAAACAUAUAUAAAGCCUUUUUUUUCUUUUAAUUUUCAGGUUCAUAUAUAUAGAUAUAAUCUCUCUGCCAAUGAAGCGCCUGCCAAUCAGAGAAGUUAAUUUUUUAAUAUAUUUUUCGACGCCGGCCCCGCCCCUGAUCUUAUAGCUUUGACUCCAGAUGAGUGAGGCUUUUCAUUCAUGUUAUUCUUUGAAAGAUCGUGAUUCUAGAGGCUGCUGACAAAAGAAGAUUCCGGAGGCUGCUGAUAAGAUAAAUACAAUAUUUAUUCGAAUGGGGCUAUUGACACCACUCUAAAUACUUCUUAAAAUUCUUUUAAUUAUUUAGAAUUACAUAAUAGGAUAAUUUAUACAUAAUAGAAUAAUUUGUAAUUAAACCCCCACUCAAAAGUCAAAUAAUUUUUUCAUUUUAAAAAUUAAAAAUGUUGUUUUUUUUCUAUUUUUUGGGUGAAGAAUUCACUACCAAAGGCUACAAUUGAGAGAAUGAAACCUCAUUAUUUCUUUCUUUUAAAUAGAAGAAACUCAAUUGCUGAAAUGAGAUUUAAUAAUAAAAAUAGAGAAUUGAAUUUACACAAUAAAUUUUACGUAAGGGUAUUUUUAUUAUUGAUGGAGGUGUUAAAAGAAUUUUAUAAUUUUUUAAAAUAUUUUAAUGGGAUUAAUUACGAAAAGGGGUGUUAAGAGAUAUUUAUUGACCAUUUUAAUAAUUAUUAUCUUUUCAAGGAUUUAAAAAUCUAUAGGUGUAACGGACAGCUAAUGUAAUGUAAGCGUUAUCUAAUAUAUGAGUUGAUGAACCAUCACUGGUGAAAUCAAAAUAAAUAAAUAAAAUAACAGAAGUCAAUAAUGGCAUUCAAAAUAAAAAAAUAAUAGAAGUCAAUAAUGGCAUUCAAAAUAAAAAAAUUAAAACAAAAAGCAAAUAAAGCCAUUGGAUUCUUUUUUUUUAAUUGUUUCUGAAUAUUAAUACGUUAAAAUAAAAGAACUUGUUAAUAUUUAUCAUAAAAAUAUUGUUGAUACAAUCCUACGUCAAUUUUGUUAUAUUAUAGUACAAUUCGAAAGUUUUAUUUUAUUUUAAAAUAUAUUUAUCCUACCAUAUUUAUAAAAGAAAUUAUAAAAUAAUUAAAUUAAGAUAAAAUCUUACCUCCAAUCAUAGUUGUUCAAGAUUCAAGCGUUCUCUAGAGUCACUAAAUUUUAUAAAAAAAGUACUUCUUCCUUAUUCUACUUUAUAACCUUUCUCUUGUGAUGGAAAAUAAGUUCUUAGGAAGUAUAGAUUUGGAUAGAUUAGAGAUCCUUUUUAUAAUAGACUAGAGAACCUUUUUAUAAUAAUAUUUUAUAACUUACAAGACUUUCCACUUCCUUCCAUCAAAGAAGUGAAAUUUAUAACCUUUAUCACUUCUAUUAUGAAAAUGAUUAGUAAACUAUAAGGCUAUCCCUCGAAAUAAGUAAGUAGAUUAUUAAUAUGAGUUUAUCUAUUUAUUUAUUUAAAAAAAUCACUUAUCAUGUGAACUAUAUAAUAAAAAUUUGUGGAGAUAUAUCUACGCACAUUUAAUUAUAUAAUUGAGAUAAGAAAUUAGAGGUCCAAGAAGUUGUACUUAGAUUUGCAACCUCAAAGUUGAGGUUAUGGCAGGCAAAAGAAAAAGGAGAAGCAUGUGUUUUUGAGAAAGGAACCCAUAUAAGCAAUUGCAAAUUAAGCAAAAUCGGAAUUAAACAAAUUAAGCAUGUGUUUUUUUACUCUUUAUGUGAUAAAAUCGGAAUGUGUACCAUAAAUAAAUAAGCAGAAAAUAAACCAAUACAAUCUAAAAUAAUAAAUCAACCAUAAGAGACAUAUUUUUAGAUGGAAAACCUAAAUUGAGAAAAAAACCAUAGAACUAUAGUCUAUUAUAACCUUCAAUUAUAUUAAUAAUGGGAUUACAACACAGAUUCUUCUCUAGAUAACAUUAGAGGCUAGCAACAUCAAGAAUCUCAACAAUCUUGGCUUAUAGUAAUAAUUUAAUAUUUAUCUCUCUAACAAAUGAGUAAUCUCAAAUAACAGGCAAUGAGAGAAUUAAAUAAAAAUCAAGACCAGUAAAAAUGUAGAGGGCGAUGUCAGAAACUUACCCUCCAAAUUUGGGAGAAAACAUAGUUAAGUUUACCUUCUUAUCAUCCAAUCAAAGAUCAAGAUCCUUACCUCCAAAUUGGAAUAAUCGGCCAUUGUAUAUUUUGAAAGCCAAAUUUAAUGGUAAUUUUCAAUUAGUCAUAACCUGUUUUCUUUAAUUAUUUAAACACCCAAAAUAAUGGAAACUUUGAGUUGGGCCACCCAAAUGAAAUGGACCUAACAAAUCUUCCCCACCAGGUUAUGUGGAGGGCACCACCAAGCCCGUUCUCGGCUUACAUUCUUUCAACUUUUCCUUGGGCAACGACUUUGUCAUCAUAUCUGACCUAUUCCUCAUGAAUCUUCUCAAGUUGUAAUUAUUUCUUUUCAAGUAUGUCUUGUAUGCAAUGAUACCUAACAUUAAUAUGCUUGGAUUUUGAAUGCUAUGUUGAAUUCAUUUCCAAGUGAAAGGACUUUGACUAUCAUAGUACACAACAUAGCUAUCUUGUUUCACAUCUAGCUUUUGUAAAAAAUUCUUCACCACAAGGUUUCAAAGAAAACUUCAGUGAUUGCAAUAUUGAUGAAUAAAUAAAGAAAAGCAAACAAAUACUUCGCUUUCGGUGAAACUUUCAAAUAUCAGUCUUUAUGACUUUAAGCUACAUUUACCAUGUGGAAUUGAAUUGGACUAAUUAUUAGAAUAAGACUGGAUUAGAUUAUAUUGGAUUAAGCUAGUGUAUAUUAUAUUGUCUUAUGUUUGGUGUAGUACCAAAUUAAACUAUGUUAAAUUAUAUUUAAAUGAUAUUAAAUAGCAUUUAAGUUUAUAUUUGAAUAUGAACAUCAAUUAUUCAUGAAAUUUUAUAACAAUAAGUAAAUAAAUUUAAAAAGCAAUUAAUUAGAAAAUUAAGUAUAUUGUAAAUAAGUUAUUAGGUAGUCAUAAUAUAAUAAACAAAUAAAAAAGAAAUUAAAAAAUUCAAAUAUUUAAUUAAUUUUUAUCAAAUAAUUAAAAAAUUUUAUAAAAUCAAUUUAUUAUUAUUUUUUUAAUUUUUAUGAUUAUUUUUAAGGAUCCACCUAUGUUACAACAAUUACACCAUACCAUACCUUUUUAUCUCUAUUUAGUAGAGUCGUUGGAUGCUUUAUUGUUCAAUGUAACCGCUGCAUAUAUAUAUAUUAAAUCAAACAGGUGUGCGGUUACUUUAUACGUACAACUUGGGUUCUUGCCUUGCUGUCGUCAUGGAGAAUUAAUGCCACUGGUCAACGGUGAAUCAAUGGCCAUCGGAUACCAAAUUCAUGACCAAACAAUGGCCAACAAGCACCAAAUUAAUGCCAAGCACACCAACAACCACUGAUUAAAUGGCAAGUUUAGUGUUUUAAAGUUUAGAAUAUGGAGAAGCACUUGCUACUGUAUCCAGGUAUUAAAUGAUCAAAAAUCAAUUUGGUUUGGACUCUUCAAUUCCAAUUUGACUCCUACGCCAUCACCACCCAACAACAACUCAACAACCGAAUCACUCGUCCUAAUAGCAUAGCAAUCCAGUCGUCGGUUGCCCGCACGUGAGAGACUAUUUUCUUAUUCGUGCUCGGAAUUGUUGAAUUAAUUUUACAAUUCUCUUGUACCAAUUUUCAUCAUAUAUGCUGCCUCAAGAAGUGAAGAUCGAUGUCGGAAUCACUUUAAUUUAGUUUCAAUUACAUGAUGUUUGGGAUCUUCUUAUACCAAUUUCGGUCUACAAUUGCCUCAAGUAUCCUUGUCCGUCAAAUCUUAUUUGUAUUAAAGCAACCGCCUAAACCGUUAACCUGUUUGAAUUUAAAAAACAAAUAUUUGGAGCUGUUAGUUUGAACUCAUGUGUAAAUUAUGAUUACUAAUUCG